UUUUUAUUUUUUUUCUGUGGUUGAUGCAGUACCUUGUGACACAUUUUAGCGACUUUCAACUAGCGUGCAUUGGGAGUUUUCUCCUCCAUGAAAGCGUGUUUUUCUUAUCUGGAUUCCCUUUCAUAUAUCUUGAAAGGGCAGGCUUUCUCAGCAAGUACAAAAUUCAGGUUUAUUUCUCCUCUCAUUCACAUAUCGUUCCAAGUGUCUUCUACGUAUGCAAUUAUAGUUUUGUGUGAUGGUUUGAAUAUGAUCGUGUGGAGGUUGAUCUCCGAGUAUUCAGCCACACGUGAAAGUGUUUUCUUGUGACUUAUGGUGAAGGCAACUGUAGUUUCACUGAUAAAAGUGAAUAAAUAUAUUGUCAUUUCAGCAAUUACAAAAUACUAGUAAUUGUGAAAUCUGAUCCUUUUUCUCGUCUUCCCUUAUCCUAUAUGAUCAAAUCAACCAAUACUUUUGUUUUGGUUGUAUGCAGACAAAAAAUAACACACCUGCAGCCCAAGGAAAAUGUAUUACCCGCCUGCUGCUUUAUCAUUUCUGCGUGAACUUGCCCCUCAUGAUGGCUUCCUAUCCUGUCUUUAGAGCCAUGGGAAUGCGAAGCAGUUUUCCUUUGCCGUCCUGGUAUUGAUGUUUAACUAUACCAUUUGGCAGUAGAAAAUAAAAACACAAUCAAACCUGUCAGUGUUGAGCAUCAUGAAAGAACCUGAGCUUAUGUUUGAUCAGGUAUAUAAGACCCUCUUUGGUGAUGGUCCUGCAGGAAAGAAGUGUCUGCCCAGAUAUUAUUCUACUUCAUCAUUGAGGAUUUUGUCUUCUAUUGGGGUCACCGGAUCUUGCAUUCAAAAUGGCUGUACAAGAACGUGCACAGUGUGCAUCAUGAGUAAGUUUUCAGUGUUCACCAUCUGCUUUCAGUUUUGAUACUUGGCAAUGUUAGCUUAGAUAACUUUCUGAAAGCAACCAUUUUCAUGAUAUCCCAGAUAUGCCACACCAUUUGGUUUGACAUCAGAAUAUGCUCAUCCUGCUGAGAUUCUAUUCCUGGGUUUUGCUACCAUAGUCGGUCCAGCGCUCACCGGUCCUCACCUGAUUACUCUCUGGUUAUGGAUGGUGUUGAGAGUGCUUGAGACUGUUGAGGCGCAUUGCGGUUAUCAUUUCCCGUGGAGUCUCUCGAAUUUUCUUCCUCUGUAUGGAGGGUAAGAUCACACAUCUAACCACCUCUCUUGAACUCGAAUCUAGAAUAAAUUGUAUUAAUGGAAUCAUUAUUAAUUUGGUUACAGCUCUGACUUCCAUGACUACCAUCACCGACUGCUCUACACUAAGUCUGGCAACUACUCUUCAACCUUUGUGUAUAUGGACUGGUGAUCCUCUUAACUAUAUAUUUCUAUUUGCUUUCGAGAAAAGAUGAUCGUAACUAGUUUUGAGUCAACUGUGUAAUUCACUAAUCUCGUCUCUGGUGUUGUGCAGGAUCUUUGGUACUGACAAGGGCUACAGAAGACUGAAGACCCUUAAAGAAAAUGGUGACAUGAAACAAACGUGAAAUGGCCAGUUCGGAUUGCAUAGUACAUUUGUCACCGGAGAGGUCCUAUUCUGCAACCUCUCCUUUUCCUUAACAUUUUGUUUUCGGGUUGCUGCAACUGUCAUGUGUCUUAGUUUAUUAUGUGUGGCUAGAAUUGCUACAGAUGUGGCAUAUUUGGAAGAAAAAGAAACAUUCGGUACUUCAACUGAGUAUGUUGUUUGGGUUUGGCAAUUGAAGCAUUUGGUAUGUGUAAUCGAUUUUGAAGCUUAAUAUGCAAACGGGUAUAAACUUGGGGUUACUCGCUGAAUCCUAUUCGAUCUUAAAAUUGGCUGGCCCGGUCCAUUUGACAGUAAUUUGGUCUUCUUCCGAAUAUAGAUUCUUACACGACAGCUAACUUAUGUUGACAUUGUGUCUGAUAUGUAAACAUGUUUAGAUAAAACACUGAUUAGGUCAAAUAUUAUAACUCAAUCAAUCACCCGACACCGACACGUACAAAUGCGCAUAUAAAAUGUGCAUCGGUCCAUGGUGGGUCACGUCCUUUUUCCGUGGUGUAGGGUUCCUUUGUUCACCUCUUUGACACGUCCUCUUCCCUAUUAUCGUCUCUCUCAUUCACUUCCGUUGGAUUUCGAAUGUCUUCAAACACACAAAAAAUGCUAACUCGUUGUAGAGAGAUUUUAAAGUCUCUCUCUAUUUAACAAAAGAAAAUUCCCGUUGAUGUUCUCGAAGAUCACCACGUGUAUCUGAAUUAAUUGGUUCUGUUUCAAAGCAAAAGAAAUAUGUACAUCACUUUUUAUUAAUUGAAUUUUGAACUGAUUCUACCUAGACAGUGACACAUGGCACAUCACAUCUUUCCUUUUUAUGUUUGUUCAUUACACCAUGUAAAAAAAAAAAGUAAACAAAAAAAAUGGUUUAGAACAAAAAGAAACACCCAACUAUACCACUCUGGUUUAUCGGUUUUUUUUUUUAAACCGGGGCAUAGAUUUUUUCCAACCAAUGCUUUGCCAUUAUCUUUUCUCUCUUUUAGGUUCGGAGAAGAUAUGAGCUACCUUCGUCCCAAGGAAAAAGAAUCAUUUUAAACAGAGAAAAUAAAAAAAAGAAGACGGUGGAGUAGAGUGAAUAGGAGAUUAGUGUCAAGCUACGUGUCUCUUUCUUCUUCUUCUGAGAUCAACAACGACGACGCUUACGUUGUCACUACUGUGUUUUGCCAACGCCAGCUUCGUCAGCAAUACUGACGCCUCCGUACAUGCUUUGUCCGUGAUCUCUCCUCUCUUCCCGUUCUUUCUUGACCCCACCACCUCCUCCUCCUCCUCUUUACUUUCUUCUUCUUCGCUUCUCCUCCCCAGAGUUUGAGUUUCUCCUCGCCGUCGUCCUCCUCCGCGACCACCCUUUCUAUUUAAACACAUGUGCACCAUCGCACACGCGGCCUCGUUCGUCACUACGUCCCAUAACCCGUCACUUGCUAGAAUCAGAAACUCAUCUUCUUCCGUCCGAUCCGUUACCGUCACUUCCGGAUCCGAAGUCACGUACGGUUUCAAGUAGUUGUCUCCUAUAGCUCGUGACAUGGCUAAAACGCCUAAGACUCUUGCACCAUCCCAAUAUAUCACUCGCCCUCCUGCUUCUUGGAUUCGAUCCAGCUCAUCCGGACGAUCCGGCUAUUCAUUUCAAAACGUAGAAAACCAAACUUAAAUCCACAAAAAUCCAACCAAAUUAUCAAACAUAUAAAUAUGUCGAUCGACAGAGAUCAUAUAGAGACUGACCUUGUGAUCUGUAGACAGAGGCACUGCUUUACCAUUCCGACAAAGAACUGCUCUAGAAUCGCCGCAGUUAGCGACAAUAAUCUUCUCCGGGGUAAUGACGGAGACAACGGCGGUGGAUCCAACGGCGUCGCAGUCAGGGGUCUGAAGCUCACAUCUACAAUUAGCACUCAUCACAGUUUCACCCCAACGAACAACCUCUUUAUCCAUGCGCGUGAAGCUACGUUCCAUCAUCUUUUUCCAUUCUUCCUUCUUAUCUAAAAGCGCUUCUUCUUGAACUAACUCGUGAAGCCUCUCUUUACACCUCGCCGCAACCUACAAAACGACGGCGUUCCAGAUCAGGCAAACCGAUAAAAAAAAUAGUAGAAUAUUUUUAUAAAAAUAUCUACUAAACGGCGUCGUACGUGAGAACAGCCAUGGCCGUCGUAAACACCAAAAUAGUGCCAUCUCGUUCGAGAAAACUCGGUUUGUUUCCGUACAAAAGACGGAUGAAUCGCAACGGCAUCUUCCAUAUCUCUUCUUCUCCCGCACACCGACGAGACGCCGUACCUCGGCCUCAGAUCCGUCUCUUUCACCGUCUUCUUAGCAGAAACAACCAUACAACUACUAUUCACCGAUGAGUUUAUCAUGGAGACGUCAGUACUGUCUUCAACACUCUCUUCCGGAGAGCUUCGAGAAGGUGACGACGACGCACAGUUCAUAAAAUCGUAGUCGUCUUGUUUGUUUCGCUUGUUGUAAACCCCUUCCGGCUUCUCUUCGUCCAUUGCCUCCGUGGGAUUCAUCUUCUCCGCCGGUGGAGAGACCCUGAAUCGUUGAACACCGAUCCUCCACUUCCGGCUAGACCAAGACGGUCUCGAUUCACAAGCCGACGUUUCGUCCUCGUAACAUAUAUCAGCCAUAUAUAUAUAACUCAGAUUUCUUCGUCUCUGCUAUAUUUUUUUCCGGUUGGAUCGUGAAUUAAUUAUUUCCGAUGAGAAUGGAAAAAAUCUCUUCCUCCGAUUUUUAUUUUGAUUAGACCAUGCAAAUGAAUAAAAAUAUCAUCGUUUACACGUUACAAAGGUGUUACCAUUUAUAUACCCCCACGCGCCUACCGCUUCACAAAUACAUUUUUAAAUUCGUUUUGUUUUCAAAAUUAACUUUCUUUUUAUUUUUUACUUUGAUUUUUCUCCACCCGCCUUGGAAAAAAAUCUUUUUACACAAAACCGUGACGUAUUGGUCUUGUGUCUGAAAAAAGAAAGAUAAAAAAUCUUGACCGUCGAUUUUAGUCACUAUACGAUCUAGAAAUGGACCACGUAAGCAUCACGAUCAGGUGAGAGAUAAACGUGGACCAAUGAAAAUGUAACAGAGGGGGGGAGAGAGGAAGUUCCUUUCGCGCCACGAUUGUGGUCCAUUCUUUCUCCGGGAAGACCCUUUUUGUUUUUUCAAAUUGUCUCCUUAAAGAUAAAAUUAUGUGUGUCUAAUCACCAAAUUUAAUUAUCUUAUUUAAUAUCCUAAAUAAAUCCCAUUACGUUAGUUAAAAACUUGUUGAUUUUGUGUUAGUUAACCUUAAUUUGAUCUAUAAUUAGGUCAACUUUUCAAGACUAACGGAAUUAAGUACGAAAAGCCUUAUUAGACAGCGAUUUUGCUAGCCAUGUAGUAAUUUAUAUAUAUAUAUAUAUAACUGUGAAGUGUGAAGCUACAAAUUAUGUUACAUUUAGACACGUAUGUUACCUUUUCAUAUCAAAAUUCUCUUAUCUUUUUAUUUUUUUCUUUCUCUUUUCAUUUUGUGUCAUAUAAACAUCAGUUACGUACUGUAUAUGUUUCUUUUUCUUUUUAUAGUUCACACUUUACGCAUCUGUUGUUUUGUUGAAUAUAUAUAUACUAGUAUAUAUGGACCGAUAAUAAUCUCCAAAGAGAACGGCUAUGCAUUGUUUGAAAGUUUGAAAUGUAUCAAAGGCUCGCUAAGAAAUUAAUAAAGAGUAAAGACCACGGAGAUUCUCAGCACUUGAAUUAGAUUUAGGGUGCGGAUCCGCAUUUUAACUAAAGCGUAUAAAUAAUUAAGGGAACUAUAUAUAUAGUUUGAUAAAGAAUUGAAUAUCUUGACAAAGUGGAUUAUUGAUAUAAAAAGGUACUAACUACUAAGCACGCACGAGAUCAACAACUUGUAGUAGAUUUUCACGCAACUAAAAAAAUCUCAUCUGUUCACGGUUCACCUAGUGAGUGUUGUUAACAUUACAAUCAUGAUUACCUAAGAAUAUAAAACAAAAUCUAUUUAACAAUCAAGGCCUCACAGCAAGAGAAAGCCGUACAUAGGACACGUAAGUCAGUAAGUGUAGUUGUCUUGGAAUUAAUAAUUAAGAGUUUUAACCGUUACAGAAAAAAAAAAAAGCAAGAAAAUACAAUUAAAAAAAGAAAAGGCUUUUUGGUGAAGCAGUGGCCCAGCAAUUUUAUCUCUCUAUACGUUUUACUUCUUUCUGUUCAAUUCCGGCGAACCUUUUAUUAAAGAGAAUCUGAGGGAUUAUUUUGUCUACACCGUACACGUGUUACCAUCGUAGCUCUUUUUAUUUUAGACCAAAUUUUAUAUUUAUUUUUUACUGCGACUUCUACUGUUUGCAGUGAAAGUUAGGUCACCCUGUCUCUCACACUCUCUAUACUCUCUCUAUCUCUCUCUCUCUAGUGAUCAACUACCAUUUCACAAAAGCUUAAAUGUGUCUCUCUCAACUGCAAAAAAAAAAAAAGGCUAAUUGUAUAUAUGUUACAGAAAAUAUUCAAAUCUGACUAGAGAGUACUGAUUUAGAAGCAAUCCUUGCAUGCAUAUAUGUUUCCCUUUUUUCUCGCCGGUCAAAAUCUUUUGGUGUUUCGUCCUGAACUGAGCAUAUAAGUGUUGGUUGGGUCCGGCUAUUCCCUUAGUCGGUCGGGGCUCUCGCCUUGUCCCAUAUACUACUACAUAUCUCUUCUGAGAGUUGAGUUUUCGAUCCACGUACCACCUUCCUAUUCGCUGUGUUUUUUUAUUUAUAUGAAAAAGUGGAAAAUUGGAUUAAUUCACCAGCUCCCAAACAUAGAUAAAUAAAUAAAAAUGAUUACUUAUAUCAUCACUAGUAAACCAACAAUCAUGCAGCAAUAACGUAACAAUCGUAAAUAAAUUGUUCCAUAGCGGUCAUCUUAAUAGUAGCUAGUACCCGCAUAUGCAGCUAGCUUUCCUUUUCCACCAUUAUUUGUUCAACAACAAAUAUUUUGAUAAUCAAGAUCCAUAUAUAUACUCUUAGCAAUAACAUCAUGCCCAUCUAUAUGUAUAUCAUAUCUAGACAUACUCUUCUAUUGGUUGUUGUCAAGAUCUCAAGAUCUAAGCUCUUAAUUAGCUAUUGUCGUCUUCACGGAGAUAUCGAUCCUUCUUCAUUGAAUACAUCCACCCCAUUGAAAGCUAACAUUAAUUGAUGUAAAACACACGAUCUAGUACUCUUCUAUCUCCAUCUAUAAUGUUACUUUAAUCAUGCGACUCAACAGUGUUUAAUUUACUCAUCUAGCAACAAGGUAAAGAGAUGACAUUGGGGAAAAGUGGAUAAAAGAUUAUCAGAAACUAUAAUAUAAAAAUUAAUUGUGAUGAGUGUUACCGAAAUCUCAAAACGCACGAACAUGAUAAACGUAGAGGAUUAAACGGGCCCUCGUUCAUGUGUGUGUACCCACCGAUCCAACCAAAAUCACUGUAUAUACUGAAGCUGCUAGAAUCAUUGGUAGGUGACAAAUCAUUCAGUUGCUGUUUUUGGAACAUAGCGUUUGAGUUAUCAUGACAUUAAUAUUAUUAUACGAUUUUGAUAAAGAUGGUAUUAUUUUAGUAGAUAUAUCCAAAGCUUAGUGUGCAUGGUGGCAUGCACCUCGACUUAGGCCUUCGAUACAUCCAUGGUGUGUUUGUUCUUACGUGGUCAUCAAUUUUAAUUUCUAGUAUUAUUUUUCCACCCCUUCUCGUUUUAUUUUAAGGUUUCGCCGAACUUUUGAUCUUUAAAUUAGAAUUUGAAAUAAUAAAGUUAAAAAGUUAAGAAAAAAACAAAUAACUAAUUUACAUUUAUUGCAUCGUGACAACUUAGCUAGUAGUAGUGGUCGAGAAUUGUUUUCUUUUCGGGAAUUUUGAAUGGAAUAUGAGAUACUGCUAAGUUAAUGUUGAAUUAUAUGGAACUAACCUUUGUGAUUUCAUCAUAUUUCAUGUUACAAAAUUGAUAUGAUUUUUAAACACCAUUCCUUAAUUACUUGAAAUUAUAAAUUAUAGGUUCUCAUAGAAUACUAUAGAGCUGAUAGACGAAUCUUUUCAGAAGUUUUAAGUCUUCCGACUAUAUAUAUGUUUAGUACUCGCAAGACGUGCUGGUCCAAUAUUAUAUGAGAGGCAAAAGAGCAAAGUGAUAAAUAUCGAUGAGAUGAAAUCAGAAUAUUGAUUAGUUUAUUAGGGUUUUGUUUCCUUAAAACGAAAUAUUCUAAAUAAAUUGGCAUUGAAAAAUGAUAAUGUAGUUUACUGAUCAUGAUCAGAUGAAAUCAUCAAACGCAGUAAUGGAAAAGGUUGAACAUGCAUGCGGCCGAAAAAGUUGAAAACACGUCAAAACUGACUACAUACAUACGAGAGAGAAUCAGAGAAUGCGUAUAUUCUAUGUAAACAGACAGAUGAUGAUGUUCUGGAUCAGGAUCAAACCGUAUAGGUGUGUUAGUUUGAUCAUGCAUGAGAGGACAAAAUACCACUUUAUUUUUGUUUUACAUAUUUAAAUACUAGUGAUCAUUCUCGUUUGUGUCACUGUUGUUAAUUGGGGUGACACAGGUUAUUUAAGGUCCUGAAUUAUAUAUUAUAUAGAUGAGAUCAAGUAUAAUACCGAGCUAGAAAUUAGAACAUACAAUAAGAUUCUAUAUAUAAGUCAUAGCCUCAUAGGUGAUAUACUCUAGAUGCCUUCUUCUAGAGGAAAAGAGUUCUAACGUGCCAAGUCUCGACAACCUUAUUGUAAUAAAGUUUGAGUUUAUUGGUAGUUUGGACAUUGGAUUCAACCUUGUGGCUGAUACGAGAAACCAUUGACAGUGAUACCUCCAUCUACACAAAUGGUCUGACCAGUUAUGUAAGAAGCUGCAGGCAUACAUAGAAAAGCUACCACCGAGGCUACUUCUUCAGGCUUCCCGAAACGCCCCAAUGGCUUUCUAGACUCUACCACCUUCUUGAACUCAUCAUCGUACACCUAAAGAUCAUCAUCAAAGUAAAGAUAUCAGCAAAGGCAGGAAAGGGAGAUGGGUCUUGGAGGAAAUGUAGCAUAUAUAGUUUGUAUCUCACAUCUCCAGCUAGAGGAGUUGCAAUGACUCCAGGAGCCACAGCAUUAGCCCUAAUUCCAUCACUAGCCCACUCACAUGCCAGAUUCCUUGCUAGCUGAUUCAUCGCCGCUAAUGUCACACACACAUACACAUAUCAAUGCCUUAGAAUAUUGUUUUAAGAACCAGCUUAUGGCUUUGUAUUUACAUGUGAAACCAUUGUAAGAAAAAAGAAACCUCUACUGAAAAUCUCAAUAAUCACAGAUAGGUGUUUUUGUUUUCUUCAAUAGCUAGUUUAGUAUAUUUACCUUUUGUUGCAGAGUAGAUGGAGCUAAUUACAGUAAACGACAAAAUCCCAGCAGCAGAAGAUAUGAAGACAAUGUUCCCACAUCCUGAACUCUUAAGAAGAGGAUGUGCAAGCUGGCUCAGAUGAAAAGCAGACUCUAAGUUGGUCGUAAAAUGAAACGAGAAAUCCUCUGCUGUAAAAUCCACUGUCGGCUUUGCCCGAAUCCCUCCAACAUUGUUUAUCUUAUUAUCAUCAAAAUAUUAAAUUAAAUUAAGAAUUUGAGUAAUUGAUUUUUAGAAAGAGUAUAUAUAAAUAAAGAUCUAAAACUUACGAGGAUAUCGAGCUUGCCACCAAACACUGAAGACACAGUCUGCAUAAGCUUAUCUCUCUCUGUUCUCAAAGAUGCGUCACAGACUGAACCACUGACUUGAAAUCCCUUCUUUUUCCAUUCACUUAAACACUCAUUAAGCUGAGAUUCAUCUCUCGCACAAGUAUGUAUCAAUGCUCCAAAUCCCGCAAGUUCCUCUACUAUAGCAUGCCUAUUUUGAUUCAAGAACCAGAGAUUUUUAAAUAUGCUUUCAAGAAAAUAUUUAUGGAAAGAUUUGGGAUCUGUAAACGAACCCGAUCCCUUUGGUUCCACCAGUUACAAGUGCGGUCUUUCCCUUAAGGCUCCAUCUCUGGUUUUGCUCUGUUCCUCCAGCCAUUGCUCUCUCCUAUGCCUAAAGAGCUCAGAUUCAAGAAGAGAAUACAAGUGGAGCAAGCAAACGUUAAAUUGAUUAAUCAAUCAAUCAUUGGAGAUAAUAACGCAACAUGUGGGCCAAAUUUUAAAAAAAAAAAAACUCAAGAUGAUGGGCCUGGUCCAUCAAGAAUCUUAGGCCCGUAUCUUUUACAAUACUGUAAAUAAAAAAUAAAAGUCACAAGGAAAACAAAAUUAAUAUAGAGAGAUUAAGGGAAAGACGUAACUGUAGAGACGGCAUUAGUUUGUUCUUAGCCAAUGAUAGUAUUUUCUAUCAGUUUGUUUUUGUGAUUUGGGGUUGGAUUGGAUUGGUUGGGUGCACGUACGUACUAAGGCCUUCUGAUGAUCCUAGUCAUUUGCAUUCUAAUGAGUUUUAAAUCUCAAUAAUACUCACAUUUAGGCGGUUGUUGAUUAUAUACAUUUGUUAAUUACUUAAAACUGAUGACUUGACUUGUCUCAGAUCAAUUAUUUUCUUCUGUUGUGUUUUUUUUUUUUUUAAUAUGAACCAAAAUAUAUGUAUAAUAGAUUCUUAUUUGCACGUAUUCCCAACAAACCCUUUAUUGUUUGCUAGUUUGGGAUGUUUUAAUAUCCAUCUAAGACUUACCAUCACGAUCGAUCAGCUAAAAUAAGACUUGAACUGUUCAACAUUAUAGCUUUUUUGGAAUUAUAUUAGAUCCAGUUUGAUUACUUAUGUUUAAUUUAUAAGCUUUAUUAAACAAUAUAUGGAUUCUCAAUAAUUAAAAAUUUGUAGAUGAUUUCUUUGAUCCAAUACAAACAAUUUUUAUAGCUAAUAAAAAUUGAAGUUUCGAACUCGCAGCUGAUUGCCUUUCUGCAAAUAAUAUAACAAUGUCUAACUUUCUUUCUCUUUUCUUCUAUGAAGCCUCUCUAUAUAUAUACGAUGGAAUCAUUCAGACAAGCAACUUCACAUAUACACACACAUAACAAAACAUACGUCCAUCUCUUCAAUGGCAAUUACUUACAAAUCAAUAGCUCUUUCCAUUAUCACCCAACUAUGUUUCGUUUCUUGUGUGCUAAGUCAACAAAACGAAACCAAAUUUCUCUACCACGGAUUUUUCGAAGCUAACCUUCUCAAGUAUGGAUCCUCCAAGAUCCUCCCGAGUGGCAUCUUGGAGCUAACAAACACCUCAAGGAGACAAAUGGGUCAAGCCUUCUAUGGCUUCCCCGUACCCUUCAACAGUACUAACUCACCAAACUCGCUUUCUUUCUCCACAAGUUUCGUUUUCUCAAUCGACGCACCAGGUCACGGCCUAACCUUUCUGAUCUCACCGUCCAUGGAUUUCACGCAAGCCAUGCCGAGCCAGUUUCUCGGUCUCUUCAACACUUCGAACAACGGGAACUCCACAAACCGAAUCCUCGCGGUGGAAUUCGACACGGUGAAGUCAAACGAGUUUCUUGACAUCGACGAUAACCACGUAGGCAUCGACGUGAACGGUUUGGUAUCCGUUGAAUCUGCACCAGCUGCAUUUUUCUCCAACAAGCAAAGCAAGAAUAUAAGCUUGAAGCUUUCGAGCAAAGACCCGAUUCGGGCUUGGAUCGAAUACAACGGAGGGGAAAUGCUUCUCAACGUCACAUUGGCUCCUCUUGACACUUCAAAACCUAAGUUUCCUCUUCUGUCGAGAAAGAUGAAUCUUUCUGAGAUUUUCUUGGGAAAAAUGUAUGUCGGCUUCUCCGCAUCCACAGGAAACAUAACGGGUAAUCACUAUGUAACUGGAUGGAGCUUUAGCAGAGAAGGGAAAGCAAAAGACUUUGAUCUCGCUCUGCUUCCUUCGCUUUCAACACCGUCGCCAUCUGAUUUUGAUGACUUUGAUCCCUUCUCAUCAUCGGAUCCUUCUCCAGAUUCAGCAACCGUAAAUCCUUACCGCACCAAGGUGGUCAUUAUCUGCACGCUUGCCAUCAUGAUCUUUAUGAUUUGAUUGAACCAAAGAGGCAAGGCAAACACAUUUGGUCGUAUGAUUUUUAAUUGUAUUAAUUUCUUGAGAUGAAUAAAUAACGGAAAUCUUCAUAUUAAAGUUGGAUGAGUCAUGCACUUUAUAAACCUUUGGAUGAGUCAGUUUUUGUUUUGUUUCUUUUUUUGUUUGAGGAAAAAAAAUUAGCCAGCUGUUGUUACACAAGUUUUUGCUUAGGGCUUAUUAAAUCUGUAUACCCAGAUGAAUAAGAAACAAAAUUUCAUUCUCAACUCUUUGCUUCAGAAUAUUAUUAAUUAAAAUCAUUUAGCUUUUAACAGAACUGGAUCAGGUGAAGUCAAUGAGGUAUCACUCAUACUGAUACCGGUAGAUAAAAGAAAAACAUAUAGUGUUAUAUAUAACUAAAUUUGUUUUUAUUCAACUUUAUCUAUUUAUAUAUAUAUUUUUUUUUGAAUAAUUACUUCCUGGAUUUGGUAAUUUCAAGUUUCAGGAUAUAUAGUUGUUUAGUUACCAUUUCAUUCAUAUAUCUUUUUGUAAAAAUAAGAAAUUCUGAAAAGAAAAGAGAAAAAGGAAAGAAAAUAUCAAUGGCGGGGAUGAUAACACGUGUAUUUGUUGCGACACGAUCUGAUCCAAACCUAUUUAUAUUCUUCGCUGCUUUUUUUUCUGUCUUGACCGCUCCUUACCGAUCUCUGAUCUCUCUGUCUUCUCUGUUUACGUUUCGUCGCCGAUCUCGGCCAGAUUCCAUUUUACCGCCUACUGCCAAAACCUAGGUGAGCAUAAAGAGCUUGAAUUGUUUUGUUCUCUGGAGGCAAUUUUUUUCGGGUGGUUACUUCAAUGUUGCUUCUGAUAAUAUCAGAUUCCCGGAGGACGAAUCUGUUUUUUUUCGCCGGAACUAAAUUAAGGGGGCUUUAAAGGGGCUGAGAAGAUGGGUACAACUACGACAACGAGCGCUGUGUAUAUCCAAGUUAUCGAAGAUGUCGUCAACAAAGUCCGAGAGGAGUUCAUUAACAACGGAGGUCCCGGCGAGAGUGUCCUCAGCGAGCUUCAAGGAGUAAGUUUUCAAUCAGACUUGUCAUCCGUCGAUGCUAAAUGAUGUAAAUUUAGUAUAUUUAGUGGGUUCGCCAGUGUGGGUGGCUUGGAUUUGUUCCAAUGCUACUAGGGUUUUUUGGAAUUCAUAUCUUUUGAUUCCAUUAUUUUUGGAGCUUAAAUGGAUCUGUGUGGUUGUUAUCCGAAUAGAUUUGGGAGACGAAGAUGAUGCAAGCUGGAGUCUUAAGUGGACCAAUAGAGAGGUCAUCGGCCCAGAAGCCAACUCCUGGAGGUCCACUGACGCAUGAUCUGAAUGUUCCUUAUGAAGGUACAGAGGAGUAUGAGACCCCCACUGCUGAAAUGCUUUUCCCUCCGGUUAGCUAAUUUCACCUAAACCUUGAAUCUGUGAUUGAGAAAUCAAAUCAGGACUUCAAUUAUCAAUUGUCUUGAGCGUGGUUUUGCUUUUUUGUGUUGAGCAGACACCAAUGCAGACUCCCCUUCCAACGCCGCUUCCUGGUACUGCGGAUAACUCCUCCAUGUAUAACAUCCCUACCGGCUCUAGUGACUAUCCAACUCCUGGAACUGAUAAUGGAAGCAACGCUGAUAUUAAAGGAAGACCCAGUCCUUAUAUGGUGAGCUAUGUUUCUUAUUCAAAAUGCUGUGUACUGCUUAUCUAAGCGUCUGUGUAGAAUAUACAGAGGCAAAAAGGAUUGACUUCGUAUUAUUAUUUUUUUCUUUUUCUGGUUGACAUACACUGAGAAUUUGUUCUUUAUUGCAGCCACCUCCUUCCCCGUGGACAAAUCCUAGACUUGAUGUCAAUGUUGGUAAGUACUAGCGCCUAUUGUCUCAGUGAAAAGAGAUGUGUCUAUCUAUGUUGUUUGGGAUAUAAAUGUCUUACCUGCUGUUAGCUUACGUGGAUGGCCGUGAUGACCCUGAGAGAGGAAACUCUAAUCAGCAGUUUACACAGGUACUCCAAUAUAACAUCUAAAUCAAGAAUUGUGAGUUUGGCUUUUUUUUGUUUGGUUCGUAUCCUCUUUGCAACAGUUACGUUAUUGAACAUUUGAUUAGUACUCAUUUGAAGUACUCCCUCGUUGUAUAUAUUUUUCAAGUUGACUGUACCUGAACUAUAUAUGUAACUUUAAAUCUAUAAUUGGAAUACGUCCAGGACUUAUUUGUGCCACCCUCCGGUAAACGAAAACGUGAUGAUUCUUCCGCACAUUAUCAAAAUGGUGGAUCUAUACCUCAACAGGAUGGUGCAAGCGAUGCUAUCCCUAAGGUGUGUGUGUAGUACUACCCAUUUGCAUUUUGCGUAGCUCUCUUUAGUAAAAAAAAUUGUCCAUAGCUCCCUUUAUCUCUUAGAAAAUUAUAGGGAGAAGACUCCGCUUUAGUUUCUACUUCACAAGUUUGUGAGUGCCAUCCAAAAGAAGAUACAUGUAUUCAAAACUGGUUGAGUUGCAUAAAAGAAAUGUAUGUAUAUUAUAGGAUAUUUAUUCCUAUAAAAAUGAUGUAUUUAGUGAAAUCUCAGUCAUACAUCUGAUAUGAGUUUCAGGCAAACUUUGAAUGUGAUGCAUUUCGGAUAACUUAUGUUGGUGAUAGAAAGCUCCCACGAGAUUUCAUCUGCUCAUCAUCAAAGAUUCCUCAAGUUGAUGGGCCACUGCCUGACCCGUAUGAUGAAAUGUUGUCCACACCAAAUGUAAGAAUGCAUCAGGUUUUCAUUGAGUAGUCAGAGUUUCUGUUAAUAUAUUCUUCUUCGACGAGUUUAGAACCAGUAACUAGAAUCUCUAACUAACUGAGUCUCUUCUCACCACCUCCCAUAGAUAUUUAACUACAUAUAACCUCAUUUGACUUCCUAGAUUACCUGAUGAUGAAGGGAAGGAGAAUAUCUCCUUUAGACUUUAUGUUCCAUUCGGCUUUACCGUCAAACAUGCGACGAUUACUUUUGUUAGUAAUUUUAUGACAUUGAAUUUACUUGGUUGCAGAUUUACAGUUAUCAAGGACCCAGUGAAGACUUUAACGAGGCCAGAACUCCGGCUCCAAACGGUAAGAGAAGCCAAACAAAAUGUUUUAGAGCAAGUAAAUGCAUAUAUAUCCUUAACUAAAUUCCUUCCUUGUAAGAAAUCCAAACGAGCACUCCUGUUGCUGUGCAAAACGAUAUCAUUGAAGAUGAUGAAGAGCUGUUGAACGAAGAUGAUGAUGAUGACGAGUUGGAUGAUCUAGAUAGUGGUGAGGAUAUGAACACACAACAUCUGGUUUUAGCUCAAUUUGACAAGGUAAUGACUCUUGUUUACACAAAUUUCCGGGUGUGUUUCUCUGCGCUUAACUCUUAUCUCAGUAAGACUUGUUUGGUGCUGUAAUUAGGUGACUCGCACAAAGAGCAGGUGGAAGUGCAGUCUGAAAGACGGGAUUAUGCAUAUAAAUGAUAAGGACAUUCUCUUCAACAAAGUAAUAUGUGCCUCCCAAUUAAGGUUGGAGCUAUUCUGGUAAAAAUAAUACUAAUACACGAAAUGUCUACUUUUCAGGCAACAGGCGAGUUCGACUUCUGAUCUUCACAAUAGCAAUGCUUCUAGAAAAGUCUCAGUCUUUCAAACGUCAAAUGUCUUUCUUUUUACCUUGUGAUUUAGACCGACCUCCAAAACAGAGACAUGAUUAUUUAUGGGAAAGUGUACUCUGGUUGGCAUGUUGUACAAAAAGAACAGAUUUUUCCGGCCAAAGAAGGCUUAUCAACUUUGACUUAUUUCAAGAGUUUCUAUCCUCCACACAAUGGUAAUUUACUUUUCAAAGGCGGGAUCUUACUUAUAUGUAACGUCCUCUAUUAUUACAGCAUUUGGAUUCUAAGACACUAAGACCAUCCUAAGUGCUAAACCCCUUACUGUGAGUGGUCUACAAGCACGAACUUGGUUUGAAACAUAUUCAAGAGAGCCAUCUGAUUACUAUGGUCGACCUUGGCCGAAUAUUGCCAUAUCUCCUUGUGGUCCAUUGACGGCUGAGAUCCGUUCUUCUCAGUAAAUUCCACCGGAAACGUGAAAUCGUGCCCUUCUGUAGAGAGAGAAGAGCGUGGACUUGGAGACACAAAGAGAGGUGAAAGCAGAGGAAUCGCUGCCGCUGCAAUCACAUCAGAAGACUGCUGCAAAAAGGGGUUAUUAGGAACACGUUCAAGAUGCAGAGCCGUGGGUGCUUGCCUCUGCAGUCUAGUUGGUGAUUUCGGGGACUCGCUCUUCCUAGACAACCUCACAUUGUCAUCCAUCACGAUUUCAGACUCAGAGUGUUAAGCCCAAUGGGAACAAAAGCAAAACGAGAUAAAGAGAGAGAGGGGGAGAUAGAAAGAGUGACGUAAAGAAGAGAAUCAAAGGGAGAGAGGUUUGAUGUGUGUUGUCGGUGAGGACGCAAAAGGUGGGUUCGGUUAUAAUGGAACAUGUGGAGGAAAUAGGAAAGGGAUGUUGUUAUUUUGAAACGGUCAUUAACUGAAACUAAAAAAGUUGCUUCCUUUGUUGUUGCUUUUCGGUUUACUAAUGCUUACGAUCCUUUGGGUAUCGUUCAGUUUAGUGAAAGACCAAAACAAAGGUCAAUGUCUUUUAAAGUUAGUUUUUGUCUUUUUCUAACAUUAUCGUAAAUUUCUCAUUGUUAAUGACGAAGCAAAAAGAAUCAUAUUAGGAUAGAAACAAAGUCGUAAACCGGAUUGUCCAUGUAAUUAGUAUUAACGUUUGAAAGAUGGGAGGGUAGGUUGGAAUGUUUGUCGUUAUUAAAAAACAACCCAAACCAACAAUAAAGACGUUGACCUUUUUUAGGCUAUGACCAAACUGUAAGAACCCAGAGGCACAAGUAAACAAAGCCAACAAGAGUGGAGAGAGUAGAACCAAAAGAAGAAAGCAACUUUUUAAAAAAGUUUAGUUAAGGACCGUUUCAACGUAACUGCCAUUUUCUAUUUUGCUUCACAUGUUCCAUCAUAACUGAAGCCUUCUUUUGCGCCCUCAUCUACGACACACACAAAACCUCUCUCUCCCUUUUAUUCUCCUGUUUUACAAUUUACACUACUAAUUCUAUCUUCCUCUCUCUCUCUCUCUCUAUUUCUCGCGUUUUUUUACACUCAUUGGCUCAAUCUUGUGUCUAAAUCGUGAUGGAGAACACUGUGAACAUGUUUGGAAAGAAUAUGUCCCCGAGAUCACCCACUAGGCUGCAAAGGCAAGCACCCACGGCUCUGCAUCUUGACAGUGUUCCCGACAACCCCUUCUUGCAGCAGUCUUGUGAAUCUGUUCCUGGCUCAGCUAUUCCUCUGCUUUCACCUCUCUUUGUUUCUCCCAAUUCGCACUCUUGUCUCUCUACGGAAGGGAACGUAAAUUCAUACCGGCAUGCUUCUCCCUCCAGAAAAGGGCACGAUUUUACGUUUCCUUCGAGUACUACUGAGAAGAAAGGAUCUCAGCUGUCAUUGGACCACGAGGAAGGAUUGCAAUAUCCGGCUACGGUCGACCAUAGUGACCAGAUGGGUCUCUUGAAUAUUUUUCAGACUAAAUGCGUGCUUGUAGAUCACUCGCAGUGAGGGUUUCAGCAUUUAGGAUGGUCUCUUGAUGUUACAGAAUACAAGUGUUUCUCAAUAGUUUCCUUUUUAACCUAUUUAUCAAGAUGCUGUAAUAAGAUAUAUAUAUAUAUAUAUAUAUAUAGCUAGAUAUCUUGUAAGAAAAGAUCCAGCUUUUGGGAAGUUAAUUGCCAUUGCGUGAAAGACAUAAGAAAUUCAUAAAACAAGGUGAAAGUUGAUGAUACGGCCUUCGACAGGAAAAAUCUGUUCUUUUUGUACAACAAGCCAACCAGAGUACACUUUCUCAUAAAUAAUCAUGUCUUUCUCCGUCAGUCUUAAAUCAUAAAGUAAAAUGAAAGACAGUGGACAUUUAAAGAACUGUGACUUUUCUAGAAGCAUUGCUAGUGUCAAGAUCAGAAGUCGAACUCGCCUGUUGCCUGAAAAAGUAUACAAGGCGUGUGUUAGUAUUAUUCAUUUACCAAAAUAGCUCCAGCCUUUAUUGGGAGGCACAUAUUACUUUGUUGAAGAGAAUGUCCUUGUCGUUUAUAUGCAUGAUCCCGUCUUUCAGAUUGCACUUCCACCUGCUUUUUGUGCGAGUCACCUAGUUACAACACCAAACAAGUCUUAAUGUGAGUAGAGUUACAUCAGAGAAUAGAUCCAGAAACAUGCGUAAACAGGAGGGUCAUUACCUUGUCAAACUGAGCUAAAACCAGAUGUUGCGUGUUCAUAUCCUCGCUACUUUCUAGGUCGUCCAGCUCGUCAUCAUCAUCAUCUUCGUUCAACAGCUCUUCAUCAUCUUCAAUGAUAUCGUUUUGUACAACAACAGGUGUGCUCGUUUGGAUCUCUGACAAAGAGGGAAUUUAGCAGAUGAUAUUACUUGCUCUCUAACACUAUCAAACAUUUUUGUUUGGCUUCUCUUACCGUUUGGAGCAGGAGUUCUGGCCUCGUUGAACUCUUCACUGGGUCCUUGGUAACUGUAUAUCUGCAAUGCAGUAAAUGAAAUUCAUGAAAUAACUAGCAAAAGUAAUUGGGAGAGGGUGUAAUAGAUAAUAUCUCAGAUCUCUAGACAAAUGUUGCAUGUUUGUUGGCAAAUCCAAAUGCAAUUUAUGAUGAGCAGUGAGGAUGGAUCUAACUGAACUAAGGCAUUAGAGUUUCCUGCUACUGAUCUGUAGACAUUUCGAAGAAGUACAUAUCUACUAAAUGAAAAGCAGCAUUCUUACAUUAGGUGUGGACAGCAUUUCAUCAUAGGGGUCAGGCAUUGGCCCAUCAACUUGAGGAAUCUUCGAUGAGGAGCAGAGGAAGUCUCGUGGGGACUUUCCAUUGCCAACAUAGGUUAUGUGGAGUGCAUCACACUCAAAGUUUACCUGCAAAAUUGUGCUCCAAUCAGGUGUACCACCGAGAUGAUAAAUGCAUUAUUCUUGAAAGAUAUCAUAUAAGCAGCUGCUACAAAUACUUUCAUGAUUUCAUUGUUCUCAUGUGAGCUAUUCCAAAUGCAAAUGUGUACUACACACACACCUUAGGGAUAGCAUCGCUUGCACCAUCUUGUUGAGGUAUAGAUCCACCAUUUUGAUAAUGUGCAGAAGAAUCAUCACGUUUUCGUUUCCCGGAGGAUGGCACAAAUAAGUCCUGGACAUAUUCCAAGAUAUUAAGUUUUACAUAUAUUUCAGGUAUAAUCGACUUAAAAUAUAUGUACAGUGAGGAAGUACUUGAGAUGAGCAAUAAUCAAAUCAAUCACGUAACUGUUGCAACGAAGAUUUGAACCCAAACCAAAAAGCCAAACUCACGAUUCUUGAUUAGAUGUUAAAGUACCUGCGUAAACUUCUGACUAGAGUUUCCUCUUUCAGGCUCAUCACGACCAUCCACAUAAGCUAGCAGCAGGUCAGACGUUUAUAUCCCAAACAACAAAUCGAUACAUGAAGUAGUGGUAAAACAACUACUUACCAACAUUGACAUCAACUCUAGGACUUGGCCACGGGGAAGGAGGUGGCUGCAACAGAGAACAGAACAUCAGUUAAUGUAAAACCAGAAAUCCUAUAAGAUACAAAGUCAAAUCACUUUUGAAAACACUUAAGAGAUAAGCAGUGGCACUACACAGCAUUUUUAUAAGACGCAAAGCUCACCAUAUAAGGACUUGGCCUUCCUUUAAUAUCAGCGUUGCUUCCAUUAUCAGUUCCAGGAGUUGGAUAAUCACUUGAGCCGGUAGGGAUGUUAUACAUGGAGGAGUUAUCCGCAGUGCCAGGAAGCGGCGUUGGAAGGGGAGUCUGCAUUGGUGUCUGCUCAACACAAAAAAAGCAAAACCACGCUCAAGACAACUGAUAAUUGAAGUCCUGAUUUAAUUUCUCAAUCACAGAUUCAAGGGUGAAAUUAGCUAACCGGAGGGAAAAGCAUUUCAGCAGUGGGGGUCUCAUACUCCUCUGUACCUUCAUAAGGAACAUUCAGAUCAUGAGUCAGUGGACCUCCAGGAGUUGGCUUCUGGGCCGAUGACCUCUCUAUUGGUCCACUUAAGACUCCAGCUUGCAUCAUCUUCGUCUCCCAAAUCUACUCGGAAAAAACACACACAGUUCCAAUUAAGCUUUAGAAAUUAAAGAUUCAAACCAACUGAAAAAGAUGAAUUCGCAAAAACCCUAGUCACAGCAGAGCAAAUCCAAGCCACCCACACCGGCGAAUCCACUAAAGAUAUCAAAUCUCAAUCAUUUUGCAGCGAAGGAAGACAGUUCUGAUUGAAAACUUACUCCUUGAAGCUCGCUGAGAACACUCUCGCCGGGACCUCCGUUAUUAAUGAACUCCUCUCGGACUUUGUUGACGACAUCUUCGAUAACUUGGAUAUACACAGCGCUCGUUGUCGUGGUUGUACCCAUCCUCUGAGCUUCUCAAGAUCUCCUUAAUUAAGUUCCGGCGGAAAACCAGAUUCGUCCUCCGGGACUCUGGUUUUAUUUACCAGAGGGAACAUUUAAGGGUGAAAUAUCCAAGAAAUUGCCACAUACAAAAUAUAAUAAUAAAAAAAAAAAUUACAAGCCCGUCACGAUUACCUAGGGUUCGGCGGAGGCGGUAAGACGGAGUAUGGCAGAGAUCAGCGACGGAGCGUAAACAGAGAAGACAGAGAGAUCAGAGAUCGAGAGGAGCGGUCAAGACAGAACAGCAGCGAAGAAUAUAAAUAGGUUUGGAUCAGAUCACAUCACAACAAUGACACGUGCCAUCAUCUCCGCGAUUCAAUUUUUUUUUGUUCGCGACAUUAUUAUUAUCUUCGCCCUUUUUUUUUUUUAAUUAGAUCAACCAUAAAUCUAAAAAAAACUCGAAAAUAUUUCCUUGGUAAAUUUCUCCAUCUUUGGUAAAAAAAAUAUUUCUGAUUAACAGUAUUGCACUAUUUCUGUUCAGUUGACCGACAACAAAAAAAAAAAAAAAAAAAACAAUCAGUGAUCUCAUAUAUAUGAUAUUCAUAUUUUAGAAAAUGUCAUUAAUGUUUAAAUUUUUAAAACAACCACAAACGUGUUAAAAAUAUGUACACAUCAGAUUCAGAUGUAACAUAAUUUACAUGGUAUUUUAUACAAAAAUUUCCUUAUAGUGUUUUUGAUACAUAUAUAAAAUUUUGUAGUAUAUAUUGUUUAUCCUAAUAUUUUCACCCUCUAUAGGAAAUUUGUCAUAGUUAAUAUUUUUCAUCAUAACAUAAUUGGGAGUUAAAGUUUUUUAGUGUUUAAAUAGAAUCGUAAGAACAGUUAUUAGUAAGUUUUAGUUCUGUUGAUAUCUCUUUCCUAAAUCUAAACGGGGAUAAACUUCUAAAGAGUCUUUACAAUAUAUCAUAAUGUUUACUGAGCUCUUGUAUAAAAUAUAUAAGAACUGAAACUUCAUCUACCUUAAGAUGAGAUAUAAGUGUAAACGUGGAUUGAGAUUAGCGUUUUUCAGAAAUUUUCUUCUCACGUAGAAAAAUGUUGAUGCCAAUAUUUACGUUUUCUAAUUUAGGGGUUCAUUAGACUAGUUUUAAGGGUCUCCCAUAAAGUUUGCUUCCUUCUGAGACAAUAAUUGCAAUGUCUUAAUGAUCUAGAGAACUUUAAUUUGAUUAAGAAUAUCUAACAUAACUUUUUAUUUUGUUUCGAUUUAUAAGAAGUUUCAAUUAAAAAAUCUUGUUUGAUACAUCUAAAUAGGACAAGGGUGUGACUAAAAGUGAUUAUAUUAUCACUUUGUUUCGACAUCUAAAAAAAGUCUUUGGCUUCAAGCCUUUAGCUACCCUCGAUCAAAACGAACAGUCGCCACACAAAAAAAAAAAAAAAAAAAAAAAAAAUCUGAUUCAGACUUAGCCACUUGGUUCAGCAGUCUCCACCGUCAGAUAUCUCAAUCUGACAAAAUCCAACGUCUCUCUCAACACCACGUCAUUCUUUUUUAUUUUAUUUUUCUGAAUAGUAUAAAGAUCUGUGUGUGUAAAAAUGUUUCUGACACUGUUCACUUUAUUAUCUCUUUGUACUUUUGUGUUUGGUUUCUCACCUGAGAAGUCUGAGUUUCUUUCUUUCGUUUCAAUUUUUUUUUUUUUUCCCUGUUAAGAAGAGCAUGUUUCUCCGUACGGUAAUUUUAUAUUUUUGCAAUAAUUGAAAAAAAGGUUUCGAAAUAAAAAUCUGUAACGUGAUCACUUAUUUUCUGAUUAGAAUCCAAAAUUCUUAUGAUCAUGACAUUAUCGUCAGAGAGUCAAAAAGAGACAAAGAUCGAGUGGUUCAUAACUUUUCCAUUGGAUUUUUCAAUAUCUCGAAAUUUCCUUUUUCCCGCUCUCUCUAUAUAAUAAGAGAUGAAGAUAUAAUAAUUUCAUUCAUUCAUUGUCAGUAACACGGAACAGUGUCCAAGUACGUACAUUCUAAUACACACAGUAUACUUACUACUAAUUCUAUCUUUUCUUUAACUAAGAAAAAAUAGGGUAAUGAUAACUUAAACUUAUCUUUGAUACAUAUACACACAUAGUACUACUUUUUGUUGGGCUUCAUAUAUAGAAAAUUUAGGUUAGGCAAAAGAGGGAAUCUUCCUUCUAUCAAAGAGUAAGAAAACUUAAUACUGCCGUAAGAUACAAAUAACGAAUAGGAUAUAAAUAGGCAGUACUAAAUAUAACUUCAUAUCACACUCAAAAAUGAAAAAAAUAUAUGUAAAAAUCCUCAUAAAAAAUAACACUAAUGUAGACAGUACUAAAUACAACUUCAUAUUGUUUUUUAAUGGGAUUUUUUCUACUGUAAAUGGGUUAAGCUGUACAAAAUCUAGUUAGCCUACUGCACAGGAGUUACAAUAAGAAAUGGAAAAAGGAGUUACAAAAUUCCAAUAUUUCGUGGUGUAGGCAAAUUUAUAUAAUCCAAAUAGCAUCAUGCCACUUUGUUGACCACAUUAUUAUCAUCAUCAGCAUCAUAAUUAAUUGUAAAUCCAAGACAUUAACUAGACCCCAUUAAGAUAUUGUUACCAAGUCUAAUCACGGCUAUAAAAAAAAAGUUAGCAUAAACGUUGCAAAAAGCCAUAUGAUACGACAAAUAAAUUAGUAAAAAUAAAAGAAAAAAACUAAUGUGUGUGAAAAACACUCAGAUCUGUUGACCAAAACACAAAAGAAACCUCAGAUCUUUGACCAAAUAAAUUAUCAUUGGUUGUUCUUAUUAAAUCUUUUUAUUUCGUUAUUAUUAAUUGUUUUUUUGCCAGACACUGAAAGUGACUAUUCGAUUUAAUCCUAACAAAAUAAUUGUACGUCUCGACACAUCGACCCUCCAGAUUGUGGCAUAUAAUUUCACUUUAAAAAAAAAAAAAAAAAAAACGUUCGAUGUUUACAAUUUUUUCUUCAUCAGACGACACACACUUAUAAUUAUUUAUAUACUACCUCUUGUAGGAGUAGUAGUAGUAGACAUGACUCUGUCUUAUCAAAAAUUAAUAGAAGUAAAUAUAAUUAUCAAAAAAGAAUCUCUUCUUACAAUGUACUAGUAUGGAAACUUGUAGCAACUUAGAGUAGAGAAUCAAACUGAUCUAAUCAUUUAAAGAAAAGAAAAGAGAAGAGAAAGAAUAAAAAUGCAUGAGAUCUAUCAACCUAGGAAUCAUGUUUAUGCCAACAUACAAGCAUAGCCACACACCUUCUCAUGAUGUAGAACCUUCCCUUCUGUUCUUUGGCCAAGCUGCUGUACUUUUGAGUUAUGGAAGAUGAGCCUUUCUCUUUUUUCGAAGAGCUUCUUGACAUUGAAGACGAAGAAGAUGAAGAAGGCACUGAGCAUUUGGUUGACGAGCUCCGUACGAAUGCAGGAGCUUUCGAGGAGGAAGCACUUGUCGAGAAGCUUCUAGAGAACUUUGAUUUAGACGAAGUCGAAGAAGAUGAGCACGACGCAGCCAAUGCAUCCUUUUUCGACAGCUUCCACUUCUCGUCCAUGUCCUGUGUUGCGGAAACAAGAGCUACGCUGAUAUAAAAGAGAGCUUCUCUCUGACUCGGAUGAAGGCCGUCUCUCUCCUUUAUUUAUUAAUUUAUUCUACUCUACUUUUUUCUUUUAGUUUGAUUGUGAGUUUGUGGUGAUUGAGCUUUAGAAAGAGAGAUAACUAGCGAUCUAGAGAGAGGGAGAGAGAGAGAGAGAGAGACAAGGGAAGCAAAGAGAGGGAUAGUGUUUCUCUGCUCAUGUCUAUUAUAUAGUGAGUGCUUCCAAAACUAAAACUAUAUACAUGUGGAAAUGAUGAAGGCAAGAUAAUUAUUUGAAAAUAAAUAGUGCAACUACUUUUAGAUAUGUAUAUUUUCAAAAAGAGAAAGAACGAAUUGGAUUAAGUUUAACUAGUGGAACACUUGCAACAAAAAUUUACACCUAAUUAAACUUUUUCAAAGCUGUAAUGAUUGUACAAAAAUCAUAGUACUAGGAAAAAGAAUAUAAACAAAAUUGAUUCUUGUGUCAAUAAAGAAAUAAAAAAAAAUCCAAAUGAACUUAUUAGCUGUAUAAAACAAAGUUUUUUUUUUUUUAUGACAGAACAGCGAAGCAUUUUCAUGUUUGUUAUUAACGACGACGUUCCGUAUAUCUUCUUGUUCUCUGAACAUUUUAAACAGAUAAAGAAAGAAUAUAAUCUUAAAUUUUUGUGUUAUAAUCAUGUUUAUCAAGUUUUCAACAAAGCUUAGGUUUCAUUCUUUAUAUAUAUAUAUAUAUAUAUAUUUCAGUCUGUCUAUUUUUAUGAAUAUUUGUUUACGAGUAGACCAUUUGUUUUUUUCUAUAUUAAUUCGAUUACAUAUGCUGUUAAAACCUUCGGAAAGGUAAGACGUGGGUAAAUAUCAUAUUGAUAUUCACAUAAAUCAACUGUAACAUGAGAGAGAGAGAGAGCACAAUAAAUUGUAUGAAUAAAAACUGACAUAGUGGGACAUGAACCACAAUAAAAAUUUGUUUUCUAUUUUCUCAAAUGAGUUGGUUUAAGAGUAACAAGCUUCCACAAAACUGCAAGAUAUUUUUGUUGAAUCAUACCGACUGCUAUAUAUGAUAUAUGAUAAGUCCAAAUGGUGACGUUCCAGUUAGAAAAAUAAUACUAUUGAUCGAUCCACUACCACUAGAGUCUUAGAGGAGGAGACUCAUGUAAUUGCACUUGUGAAUGACAAACUACAUCUUUUGAACUAGAGGAAGUUGAAGUUUCUUCUUCUUCAAGAUCGAUGGAAGAAUCUACAACACAUAUUAUCUAUCGUUGGUACAGUGACGUUGAUGUUAAAAUAAGAGACAUGGUUUCUAAUUUGUCUAGAAACGUCUAAAUGCCAGUCGCGGACUUGUCUCUCGAAUGAAUCAGUGGUCUACGAUUAUACAAGUUUUUUUUUUCAAAUGAAAACAUUAAUAUCUUUUUUUUUUUUGUGUGUAAGUGGUAUCAUUUGGGAGUGUUUGGAGAGAAAGGAGCAGAGAGGGACGGGGGUAAAGUGUUCCUUACGAUAAAUAUUUUCGAUAUCGGGACCAAGACUAGACAGCUUCGGGUCUAAUAAUAUUCCACAUGUCUUUUUUUCUUUUCUCACUUGUGUUUUCCCAAAUUAAAAGAAAAGUCUGGCUACCUUUCUCGAAAUUAUUAACUCACUCCACUAAUCACAGUGUAUAUUUAACAUUGCAUCGUACGUUCUACUGCUAUUUUUCGAUUGGUGAACUUUUUCAUUGUUUGUACUACAUCCUUUAGAGCCACAGUAUAUGAUUUGUCGUUAGAGAGAAACGUUUAGCAAGAAACAAAAAAAAUGAUGAGAUGUAUGUAUACCAAUAUCAAUUUGUUAUAUUGACAUCACCAUGUUAAUCAUAGAGGAUGUACCCUCAUUAGAUUCGGAUACAAACUAAAUAAAAUAAAAUAGUUAUGAUUUAUGAGAUUACACAUUGUUUCAUCUUCGGAUUAUAAUGUUUAAACCAUAUCUUCAUGUUUGUAAUCUUUAUAUACAUUAAUUGAAGUUUUAAACAACUUGGCCGGCUUGGUAUUCCUCGAACUUUAAUCAGACAAAAAAGAAUUGCAAUGUUAAAUAAGAAUAAAACACUUCAAUUUUGUACUUUCAUCAGAUUUGAUUAUGGAAAAAGGAUUUUAAUGCCCAAAGUUCCAACAAAUUGUUUGACGCUUUCUAGUUUCUAACUUUCUACUAUCGAAUAUUGAAAUAUGUUAACCAUUCACACUCUUAUCCCGCCAUGAUGAACUGGCUUGUAAUAGUUUUUAUCAACAAAUAAGUUCGUUUGUGAAGGGAUUUUUAUAGGGUUCAUAUGUUCUUCCCAUAUAAAUAACUCAACCUGCAGUUUUACAUAACUCAACCUACAGUAUGUAAAACUGCAGAUUCUACAUCUAAACUAGAAGAACCUUAGCUAAAUUGAAUAAAACUCGUUGUAUAUAGACUCCUAUAACCCACACGGCUCAGUAAGAAUUUCGAAAGUUACUAGGACUUUCAAUGUUUUUUUUUGUCACCUUGAUUUCUUUAACACACGGAUGAAAGUAAGAAGGAGAAGGAUCCGUGAGUCCGUAGCCUGGUGGUCCAAAUAUUUUCUGAUCAUUAUAACAUCAUGAAUUAGUCUCGACUCUUGUUGUCCUUGAAUAUACGACAUUAAGCCAGAACUCAUGACUGAUGACUCUCGAGAUAUUUCCACUUGCGUUGUACAACUAAUGCCAUAUAAUAAUCACAUAGCUUCCAAUUUUUCCGCAGAAAGAAAAUAAAUUUGAGAUACGUACAUACAUAACUAGCUAGAAAUAAUACAAAGAUCGUUAACAAAGAAAAACACCCAAAAAGGCAAAUACUUACAUACUCGAUAUAGCAGCCUCCAACCCGACAGAAAACAAACAAAAACCAAAAAAGGAAACACAUCAAAACCACACUGGUUUCAUUAAAAAGUCCAUACACAAACAUUGUAUUGCGUAUCUUACAUCAGCAUACAUCACACACACACACACACAAAAGCCAAACCACUAAUAUGAAUCGUCAAGCCUAGGCUUCCAAGACGUACGUGUGGAGAUAUUACGCAUACAUAACAUAGCCGUUUUCAAACAACCCCGAACCCAUUUACAACAUCAAUCCAGGAACGGGACGAUAUAUAUAUAUAUAUAGCAUAGCAGUGGUAGCAUAUAUAAUACUAGCUAAUAAUAAUAAGUCAAAAGUCAAAAGAGGAAUCGCAAUCUAAGCCGUGCAGCUAGGUUGCCGUUUGGAGGCUGCCACCACCGAGAAAGAACAAGUCAAGAUCCGGCGGCUGAAAAUAUCCGUUCUUCGGCGGUUCCUUCUUUUCUCCAAAGUGUAGCGAUCUCUUCCUUCUCACCGGAGGCGGACACGGCGGGUAUGCUGGUAUCCGACACUCAUCACGUGUCGGCGUCGUGCAUCCCAUGUUGUAGUCUUCAUCAACGGUCACCGUGUUUCCGUCGUAGUGUUCCAUAUUACUCCCGUUCUCUCGCAGUUUCCUAAUUAAGAGAGUCUCUCAAUGUGAUUGCUUCUUUAGUACAACACUAGUUUUGGAAGUGCCGUAGCUUGUUCUGGAAGUUCCCAAGUACUUGCGGUGUAGAAAAUGACACGUGGAGGAGCGUACUGCCACGUGCUAAAGCGUGGGUGUGUUCAGGUAGUAAAAAGUUGCCACACAUACCCUCUCGUUUAUCAUGUGGCUUUUUAGCUGAAACCAGGCCCAUUUAGUCAAAAAGGGAUAAAAUUAAGCUCAACAAGGGCCCGAAUUUUACCCUCCUCAACUAACCGAACCGGUUGGUUUAGAGAACAAACCGGUUGAAAUAAUCCACGGAAAUAAAACAUAUGUUGGAGUCUGAAACGCGUUGAUGUCUUGUUGCCCAAGCAGCUCAAAGUUCUCACAUAAAUUGCUCUGUCAACAAUCACAAUAAAAGAAAAAUCUUUUGUUCUGGGUUCUUUGAUUUCUUCAGUUACCACAUCUUCAUCACUCCUGUAAAAUUCCUUUGCUCUCUAUCUGAAACGAAAGCUUCCAUAUUUCUCCUUUGGGUUUUGAUUAAAUCUCCGAUUGCGGUUUCUAUAUAUUAUGCGAUCUCACUUCUGUUCGUCCUGAUUCUUUGACAAUGAUAUUUUCCAAGCUCGGUUCGUCCAUUGCUCGAUCCUCUCGUUCCAAGGUUCGUUUCAAUGUGAUACUUUCUUCAAAUGCUUGUUAAUUUUCUGUUUUCAAUUCCUUUUUUCCUUAAAAAAAAAUUAUAAAAUCCUGGUGAAAUUAGGGAUUGGUGUACGGAGGUGGUGUGAGAUCGGCAAUUCUAAGCGAAGGGAGGCUUCGGGCGCCGCCAAACCUUGAGGCGGCGGCCAAUCAGGUUAAUGGUGGAUUAGGGUUUCUGAGGCGGCACUUUGCUUCUUUAGCUGCUCGGAAGUUGGAUACCGGUGAUUUAAGCCGCGUUUUCGCUAACCCUAGAUUGCGUCGGUUCUUUUCUAGCCAAAGUCCAAAGAAGAAGAGUAUUCCUCAAAACCCUUGAACUUUUCAUACGAAAUUAAUUGUUCAUAUGUGUUCAUAUGAAUAUGAGAGAUACUUGGUACCCGUUUUGUUUCUCGAUUCUUAUAAGUGGCUUUUUGUGCAGACUACGAGAAUUACUAUCCAAAAGAUAGUAAGCAAGCACCCAAGAAUGAGCAGAAAUCCGAAUCCAAAGGUGAGAGUUCGUGUAACAUUCCCUUAACUUUGGAUUUCAAAUCCAUUUGCUGAUAUGCUAAAUAAAUCAUACUACUAGUUGAUACUUUUGGGAGUUUGGUGAAUCAUUUAUCAUCUUUUUUGGUUUGUCAACUAUGCAUACAGUUACAGGCUUUACUAAGUUGCUCGCAGUUGUUCUAUUGAAAAUUGAUUAUCGUACUAAUGUUUUUGAAAUACAAUGGUAUGGAGGAAAGAUAGGUAGUUAUGAAACCAAUAUGAAAUUUGCUCAUCUUUUAUCCUUUUCCUGAUUUAUCUUAGUUUUGGCUUCUGACUUCUGACUUCUGAGUACUCAAAUUUUGUUAGCUUUUAUAGAUUCAGUAGUAUCAAGUUUUGUUUGAAUUUUCUUCCUUUGACAAAUUUUGCUUCUAUACGGAUUGUGAAAGUUUGUUUGAAGAUUUUAGUAACUGGAUAUGUAUUAUUUGUUGCAAUGCAGAGGGUUCGAAAAAAAAUGAAAAUGAAAAUGUCGGGGACAUGUUCACGAAGGAAUUCCAAAAUAUGUUAAUUCCUCUGAUGGCUAUUGCUUUAAUCCUUUCUACUUUCUCUCUUGGUUCCCGAGAACAGCAACAGGCAAGCACGUUUAACUCAACUUUGUUUAUCCUGGAUCUAUUUAUCUAUAUUAUGUUAUCUAUGGAAUUGCGGAAUCAGAUAAAAACUAAUUUUCGUCUUAUAUCUGCUGGUUCAGAUUAGUUUCCAGGAGUUCAAAAACAAGCUUCUUGAACCUGGUCUAGUGGAUCACAUAGAUGUUUCUAAUAAGUCAGUUGCGAAAGUCUAUGUGAGGAGUUCACCAAAAACUCAAACAACCGAAGAAGUUGUUCAAGGUCCUGGUAAUGGAGUUCCUUCGAAAGGACGUAGUGGUCAGUAUAAGUACUACUUUAAUAUUGGUAGUGUUGAAUCAUUUGAGGAGAAGCUCGAAGAGGCCCAAGAAGCAAUAGGCAUCAAUUCUCAUGACUUUGUUCCUGUCACCUACGUCUCUGAAAUGAUCUGGUACCAAGAACUGUUGAGGUUUGCACCGACUUUACUUCUCUUGGGUACGCUAAUUUAUGGGGCAAGACGGAUGCAAGGUGGGCUGGGAGGUGUAGGCGGACCUGGUGGGAAGGGUGGCCGUGGAAUUUUUAAUAUAGGGAAAGCUCAAAUAACGAGAGCAGAUAAAAAUUCCAAGAAUAAGGUUAGCAUUUCAAUCAGAAUGGAAAAUGGAAUUACCACCUCAUUUCUCAUUCAUGAUGCUAUUGGGAUUUACAACUGAUAUUUUUUGGUUUUUGUCAGAUAUAUUUUAAAGAUGUUGCGGGAUGCGAGGAGGCUAAACAAGAAAUUAUGGAAUUUGUGCAUUUCCUUCAGAACCCAAAGAAAUAUGAAGAGUUGGGAGCUAAAAUUCCAAAAGGUGCGCUUUUAGUUGGCCCACCAGGGACUGGAAAGACCCUUCUAGCAAAAGCUACUGCAGGGGAAUCAGCUGUGCCUUUUCUGUCGAUAUCUGGUUCAGAUUUCAUGGAAAUGUUUGUUGGUGUUGGACCUUCCAGAGUGAGAAACUUGUUUCAAGAGGCUAGACAAUGUGCACCUAGCAUAAUAUUUAUUGAUGAGAUCGAUGCAAUUGGCCGUGCGAGAGGACGUGGAGGUUUCUCUGGUGGAAAUGAUGAGCGUGAAAGCACACUUAAUCAGCUACUAGUUGAAAUGGAUGGAUUUGGUACUACUGCUGGAGUUGUCGUCCUUGCUGGGACAAACAGGCCAGAUAUUCUUGAUAAAGCUUUAUUACGGCCUGGCCGGUUUGAUCGUCAGAUAACCAUAGACAAACCUGAUAUUAAAGGCCGUGACCAGAUAUUCCAGAUAUACCUAAAGAAGAUCAAACUUGAUCACGAGCCCUCAUAUUACUCGCAAAGGCUUGCAGCUCUCACUCCCGGAUUUGCUGGAGCUGACAUUGCGAAUGUCUGUAAUGAGGCAGCUCUUAUUGCUGCCAGACAUGAAGGAGCAACAGUUACAAUGGCGCACUUUGACUCUGCAAUAGAUCGUGUUAUUGGAGGUCUGGAGAAGAAAAAUCGGGUAUGUACUUCCGCCUUAUCAACAAAAUACCACUGUUUAUAUAUUUUGUUCAUUCAUAUUGGAACAUCCUCAAUAGUCAACAGGAAUCUAGGGUAGAUCUCAAAUGUGAAACCCAACAGAUCAGCUAAAGAUUUCCAUCUUUUUCCUCCCCCGGAAACCUGAUUGUUCUGUAAUUGUUUUUGGUGGUUUCAUGGGCACAGGUGAUAAGCAAGCUGGAACGGCGUACAGUGGCAUAUCAUGAAUCUGGCCAUGCGGUUGCUGGGUGGUUCCUGGAGCAUGCUGAGCCAUUACUAAAAGUGACUAUUGUUCCUCGUGGCACUGCAGCACUCGGGUUUGCCCAGUACGUUCCAAAUGAAAACUUGCUCAUGACAAAAGAACAACUCUUCGACAUGACUUGCAUGACUCUCGGUGGCCGGGCAGCUGAACAGGUAAAUUUAUCAACGUCCAACUCCUUUUGGUUGUGAAACUGAAAGUGUUAUGGGUGAAGGAUCAAAAAUAGGGACAUCCCAAAAUGCUCUCUUUAUUGCAAAUAAUCAAAUGUACCAAACCAACUCAAAAGCAAAAAAUAAAAGCUCAAAGGUCACUUUAAUAUCCUGGUAUAGAGGUCAAGAAUUCUCAUUAGAGUGGUCUUAAAGUUUCUGAAAUUUGUUUUCUAAGCUGUGAAUCCUGUGUUUUGGUGGGUCUUGAUUUCAGGUAUUGAUAGGAAGAAUAUCGACCGGGGCUCAGAACGAUCUGGAGAAGGUGACCAAGAUGACAUACGCGCAAGUUGCUGUGUACGGAUUCAGUGACAAGAUAGGAUUGCUUUCUUUCCCGCAACGGGAAGACGAGUUUUCCAAACCGUACAGCAACAGAACCGGUGCAAUGAUAGACGAAGAGGUCCGAGAAUGGGUUGGCAAAGCUUACAAGCGAACAGUAGAGCUGAUUGAGGAACACAAAGAGCAAGUGGCUCAGAUCGCUGAGCUCUUGCUAGAGAAGGAAGUUUUGCAUCAGGAUGAUCUCGCUAAAGUUUUGGGUGAGCGUCCGUUUAAGACGGGUGAGACGACGAACUAUGACAGGUUUAAAUCUGGAUUUGAAGAGACGGAGGAGAGCCAGAAGGAGUCUGUCACGGUGAAGCCUGUGGAGGGUGAUGGAGUUCCGCCACUUGAGCCACAAGUAGUUCCUACGUAGAUGUUGGGCACCCAGAGUUAUAUUACUACUCAUUGUAAAUUUAAUCGAAGCUCAUUGCAAUAACAAAACACGGUUCUGUAUCUUCCGUGACGGAGGGAUUGUUAUCAAUUUUACGUAGCUCUAUCAAUUUGAAUCAUUUGAAAGGUUCCAAUAUGAAAAUAAUUACUCUGUAAAGUGUUUUACUUUCAUCACAGUAUAAAUGUCAUUGUAUACAGCAAAAGUAAAGAAAAUCAAGUACACAAAACAAAAGUCCACAAGCUCUGCCUCCAGAAGAAAAAAUAAAACAGAACUUGGGAUUACAAGACAAUCUUUAAUGAACGAACAGAAAAGCUAAGAAGGGACCCAACAGGAAGAAGAGAAUAGGAUGCGACCUUUCCAACCUUGUAAGAACCAAUUACUAUCUUCAUCAAGGACAAAAUCUUUAUGAUAACCCCAUUUCUUCAUUUUCUUCCUAAAUGACUCCACAAGCUCUGCCUCCACAGGCUUUUGCUUAAAUCCAGCCCUUACCAUCCUUACUUGCCAUUGCUUGUAAGUCUCUGGUCUCUCGACUCUAUCUACACCUUCACAAGCUAUCACGUUCAUCACUUCUCUCCCAUAAAAUUCCCCUUCGAAGUGUAUCCUCUCCGGGUUUUCUCGCGACAGAGCCGCGCCAAACAAGUCAAACAACGCCGAGUAGUGAAACAGAGCUUCUUUGAACCGUGUGGUGAAGAAUGGAGCGUUGAAAGAUCCGUUAAUCGUUGAGCUGAGGAAAACGUUUGGGUUCAUGUCUCUGAUUAGUUUUAGGAAUCCGUCCCUCGGACAAUCCUCUUCGCCUGGAGUCACAUCCCGGAGGUUCUUGAACCGGAGAACUGUAUUAACCGCAAGAACUUCGUUUGGUCGGAUCUUGAACUCCUCUAUCCGGAUUGUUUCCCAGUUCUUAGAUGCAAUAGCAUUGUAUUCAAACGGAAUACCAAACCGUUUACAAUACUCCGUGAGUCUUCGACCCGUAUCCUGUAUCCUUUCGGUUGGUCGAAACCCGUGCUGCGGCAGCUCAAUGCCAGUAAUCCGUAGUUUCCGUAGCCCAAUUUUGCUCUUUCCUAAGUGCUGUAUAAACAUUGGCCACUGGAAACCGUAAAGGAUCCCGAAAUCGAUUAUAUGAAGAACCGAAGCACCCUUGGCAGCAUCAAGAAUCAUCUUGUUGGAGAAGAAAUAUAUCAAAGUCAUAAACGGAGAUGCAGACAAGAAUACCUCGUAGGAUUUAAGAAUCUGUGCAGCUGUUCGUUUCUUAGAGGUAAUGGAAUCGUAAUAACUCUGGAUCAUAGUUCCUGAGCUUCCUUGAAGACGGGCCUCAAGCGCAUUAGCGAAGAAAUGAGCUACUCUCUGAGAUGCAUCACCAAGAGGUGAACUUUGCUUCCUUAUCUGCCUCAGUAAAUCAUCAGCUGUAAUCUUAUCCCCUGCAGAAACUGACUGUGCGCAAAGUGUUAGAAGUGUGCGGAAAUCAACCGCUUGACUCUUCUUUUUAACCCGGCCGCCUCCUUUCUUAGCCUGAACCUUGCUUGAACCAUUCUCGCCAUCUUCUUUAAUCUGCGGAUCGCAUUCGCCAUCAAAAAGCAAAACCUUAUCAAACAUUUCUGUUAACUUCCCGUCUUCCACAUCCACUGCAUAUUGCUUGCUGCUCCUAGUUUCCUCUAGAUCAUCAUCUUCUUCUUCCCGCGCGUGAUGACUCUUCCUAGUUUUAGAGAUGCCGGACCAAUCUCUCUCUUUUUUCACCUGAACAACUCUUCCUUUCUCAGGCUCAAGAUUAAAGAUCCACUUAUCAGUAUUAGGAAGAAACUUGCUUGCUUCCUCUAGCCCUCUCUGAAACUGCAUAACUGAAUCUGCAUCGCUAAACAUACUCCUGACAAGAACCUCGUUCGCUGGCUUCCCGGCUUGCAACAUGGUUGACCCUGAAAACGACACAACACCUGAAUCACCAAGAUGGUUAUCAUACAACACUUCAGCCUCUGUAGAGUUAGCUGCUGUUUCGAUGCUGACACUAGAAUUGCUGUUACUACUGUUCCAAUAAUCACCACUACUAUUACUACUACUACUAGUAAUGGAAUCAGGAAGAUGAGACUGAGUGUGCGAGUCGUUGAUCACUUGCUGCAACAUCUCUUCGGUCUGUCGCAGAGCCAAGGAAUCGUAGGACAUAGAUUGCUUCUCCGCGAGAGUCUCUUCCAUAAGAAGCUGGUUUACAUAUUUCAAAAGGGUGUUUUCAGAAUCAAUCUCAUCAGCUGGAGGAGAGUAUUGAUCUAGUGAUGCUGGAACCCAAUUCGAAGGUUGGUGGUAUUGAUCAAUACGGAGAUCGAAAUCACUGGAAGAAGGAACACCGAAACCAGAACCAGGAAUCUGAUUUGGUAAGAAACUCACAUCGUAAUACUCGAAACCGUUGACCACCCUAGAGUAAUUUUUGGAGUCCAUCAUCCAAACAAACAAAAAGAAAGAAAGAGAGAAACUUUUUAUUUUGAAUUCAAAAACCUUAAUUCACUGAAUUUGAUACCUCUUUCAAGAGAGAGAAAGCACAGAACUUUACAAAAAGAUUAAGCAACGAAAAUUAUGAAUCAGAUGAGGAGAAAUCGGAACAACAUUGCUUACAUCUGAAGAAGAAGUGGGAAGAGUAGGAAAAGAAAAGAAAAAGGCAACAACUUUUUAAGAUGUUUAUUAAGUUAAAAAGGAUGAAACUUUUUUAAGGACAGGUUGGUGAAGAAUAUGCAAAUAUGCCUAUGCGUGAGAGCAGAAGCAAGUAGAGAGAUUAACGAGAUAAAAGGAAGAGGAGGAAGUUUCCCGGGAAACUCAAAAGGGGGACACAAGACCAGUCUUGCGAUUCGUCCGAGGAGGUCUCCACUUUCUCUCUCUCUCUUUUGACUUGUCCAUUUAUUCAGUGUUUUGUCAGUCAUGGGCCCAACAGGCCCAUGUUUUUCUUGAUAUAAAAAAAACACUAGUAGUUGAUCGUCAUGUCAUGUUAAUCACGACGAACAAGUUACCAAUUUUAUGAUGACUAGUAGUGGUCGAGGAAUAUAUAUUCUUUUCAUAGUAGUUACUACAAGUGUUUGUCUCCUAAUUCCCCUCAUUACAUUGUACAAUCCAUAUGUGAUAUGUUAUAUCAUAUGAUCCAUAUUUUUGUGAACGUAAAUAACUAAAUCGUACGUUUACGAUUGUCGAUAAUUUAUUUAUUUUGUGUUUGCAUUAAGAAAGUACUCGUUGACAAGAUUUCAAAACUGAAUAUGUCGACGCAUUUAGGAUAUUUAAAUUUCCUUCUUUUUUUUUUGUAAGUGUAUAGUGUUUUAAAAAUAGUUCUAAUUUGGGUUAUGUACUUAGAUAUAUUUUCUUUUAGUAGUUGAGGUCAAACCGUACAAAUCGUGUAUGUACACACCAUUAAGUUAUAAUUAUGUGAAUCAUAGAACUGAUGUUUUCAAUGUUUUGUAGUUGCAAUUUCCCAAUUAUAAAUGCACAAUAUCAAUCAGGUUCCAAACCCAUAUUAAUAUAUUUAUAUGACAUGAUAGCAACUCUAAAACAAAUUUCUAUAUAUAUAAAUCUAUUGUCCAAUAUGUACUUGAUCAUCAUCAACUCCUGUUUUAUGAUUAUUAAUUUGAUGUAAAGUCAAAAGUGUUCUCGCACGAAAGAUAUAUAUAUAUAUAUAUUACUUUGAUUCCAAAUGUUUCAAGUUGACAAAAAAAAAAAAAAAAGUUUCCUAAUGUAAAAACUUGGUGAUCAAGAUUGAUAAAGGUUGCUGAUAGGUGGAGUUGAUUAUUUGACCAGUACGAUUUAUUAUUUUUGUAAUAUAAGUUGCCGAUGAAUAACAAAGGCAAUAAACAAAACACAAGAAAAAGGAAAGGACCCCUCCAGAUCUGAUCUCACUCACAAUGUCAUUCUGACAUAUAUACUGUGAGAUUCUCACCAUCUAUACAAUAAUAAUUGUACUCGUACAUGAAAAGAUAGAUACAUUACAUUAAAUAAUAUACAUGGAUGUAGUCAGAAAGAAAAAAACUUGAAUUUGAGUGGGUGUCACGUUUGAGUGCCUAUACUUUUUCCCGUACCUAAAUAAAUUAUUCAAACGAGCUGUUAGCCAAAACAAAAAAAACUGUAGUGAGGAAAAGCUCAUUGGAUUUGAUUAUUUUCUUUGAUUUUUGAGAUUAUGUUUUUUGUUUAGUUAAUAAUUGUUCAACUUUAACCAAACAUCAUGUACGAGACACGUCGCAGUCUGCGAGCCUGAUGCAGUCGAACUUUGUAAAACAAGACUUUGAAAAAAAUGUAACAUUUCAUUCUUUAUUCAGCAAAAGAUUACAUGAAACAUAUAGCAAAAGCUUAUGUUGUGAGUACUACUAUAUCUCAUAUAUGUUAUACUCUUACACACACACACACACACACGCUAUGUCACAAGUAUAUAUAACAAAAUACCCUAGUGUCCAAGAACCUAACUCUGAACUUAAUCCACUCGUGUUGGCGAGAGAGACUAUCAACAGAAAAAAGCCCUAGAUAGAAGAACCCAGUCGCUUAGAAAGCAAGAAAGAACAUCUACGAAGAAGGAACCCAUACAGAUGAAGCAUACACGAUUCUACCUUUCCAACCUUGAAGCAACCAAUUACUGUUUUGAUCUACAUCAAAGUUUUUAUCGUACCCGUUAUCAAUUUUCAACUUCAGAUUUUGCAUCAGUUCCUUAUCAAGCGGAAGCUGUCUAAAUCCGGCUCGGACCAAUCUCGCCUGCCACUGCUUAUACGUCUCUGGUCUCUCUACUCUCUCCGUUCCUUCACAAGCCACGACAUUAAUAAUCUCUCUCCCAUAAAACUCUUUCUCAAACAUCAGCCUCAUCUCGUUUUCCCUCGCUAGCUUCGAGUCACACAUAUCAAACACAGCCGAGUAAUGAAACAACGCUUCUCUGAACCUCGUGACAAAGAAUGGCGCGUUGUAAUUUCCGCUUAGGAUCGCCGGGAUGAAGACGUUUGGGUUCACUUUUCUUAUCAGCUUCAAAACCGCAUCUCUUGGGCUGUUUACCAGAACGGUCUCAUCUAGAAGGUUCUUGAAACGGAACAAAGAGUUCACAACUACAUACUCUCCUUGUCGAAGCUUUAAGUCUUCGACUUUGAUUGUUUCCCAUUUCUGAGCAAUUGCGUUGUACUCAAACGGAACAUUGUGUCGCUGACAGUAUCGAGCCAAGCGAUGACCCGUUUCCUGAACUCCUUCCGCUGGUCUAAAACCGCGUUGAGGAAGCUCUAUACCGGUAAUCCGUAGCUUAGGUGAACCACCAGGUCUGAGCGAGAGGCGAUGAAUCAGAGCAGGCCACUGAAAACCGUAAGAUAUACCGAAAUCUAUUAUGUGGAUGGUGUUGGCGUUUUCAGUGAAACGCAUCAUGCUGUGGUUAGCAAAUAUGAUAGCAGCUUUUUUGAACGGACAGACCAACAUGUAUGUCUGGUAAGCCUUCAACAUAUCUGCUGCAGAUGUUUUCUUUGAAGAUAAAGCAGUGUAUAUCUGUGUACCGGUCCCAGCUAAGCGUGCUUCAAGACUAUUUGCAAAAUAAUGAGCCAAUCUCUCGGACCCGUUGCCUAGAGGCGAAGAAUGCUCCCGUAUCUGUCUCAGCAUUUCGUUGGCGGUUCUACGAUCAUCCACUGAUACAGCUUGUGCACAUAACACCAAAAGAGUCCUCAAGUCAGCAGUUUCUUUCUUAGCAUCGUUACUUUGACUAGUAGCAUUUGAUUUCUUCCCACGAAUCUUUGCUCCAUUUGACUGCACCCCAACUUGCUGUGUCGUCUCAACUUUUGCUGGAAACUUCUGGUCAAGAAUGCAUACGGGUUUCCCAGUGCUACAUACCAAGAUCUUAUCAAACAUUUCAGAAAGCUCGCUUUCCUCAACAUAAACAGCUGAUUGCUUGUUACUUCUUUCUUCAACAGAAUCUUCAUCAUCGUCACGCCAAUGAGUUUUCUUUCCAGUCAAUCUGUUUGGGGGAGGAGCAGAGCUAUGAUGUUCUGUCUCAUCCUUCUUCUCUGUCUUGACAAAAACCUCAGAACCAUUUUCCUUGGAACCUGAGUCUCUGGGGAUGUAACUAUCCACAUCGAUAAAGAGCUGAGAAGAUUUGGGAAGAAACUUACUCGCUUCCUCCACCCCUCUCUUGAACUGCAUAGCUAAAUCACUAUCUUUAAACAUAUUCGAAACCAAAUCAUCGCCAAAACCUGACCUGAAAACCGCACUAUUACCACCACCACUGGUGACACUGUUAGAUCUAGAAGUGGACUGGAAAACAAAAUUACUCGGCAUGGGUGUCUGCAACCAAGAAGAUCUACUCUCUAAACCAUCGACACUCCAGUGUGAAUCAGAGGAAGUGGUAGUGGUGGUGCUAGCGUAGUCACUAAAGGCACCACCAGAAAAAGAACCGUCGGGGCUAUCGUUAAGCAAUUUCUCAGGAUGGUCCACAGAAGAAGGGUAUUUCUCGCCAAGGGCCUCAUAGAGAGAUUUCUCAGCAGCUUGAAGAGCCAAGGCGUCAUGAAACAUACAAGGCUUCUCUUCCAUGUCCUCCUCCAUAAGCACUUGGCUUAUAUACUUCAAAACCGAAUCCGAGAAAUCAGCAUCAUCAGACGGAGAUGAUAACAGAUCUCCUGUUGCAGCUUUGUCGUCGUUCUGGGGAUAUGACUGCGGAGGAGGGUCCAUGGAUACGAAAUCUAAGAAAGGCUCAUCUAGAUAGAAUCCAUUAGCUAAACCUAUGGUAUUGUUCGAGGCAGGCAAAUCAAACUCGCUAGUGAAAUCGUCCAUGGAUCCAGGGAACCCAUCCGGAUAAGAGCCCAUGGAUCGAACAAGAGCUUAUGUUCUCCAGAAAUCAAAACCCAAAAUCCAAAGUCGUAAAAAUCAAGUAAAGGACGAAACUUUAUACCUGAUCAAUCACCCAAAACCAGACCACCGGAGAUGAGAAAAGAGAAGAGAGUAGAAAAGAAAAAAGGAGGGAGAUUAGAGAGAAGAGAGCAAAACCUAGUAGUGGGAACGAUUGAGAGAUUCGGCAACAAGAUGACAAGGAAGAGCCUGUGUACGUGGUGUGGUCUAGAGAGACAGAGAGAGACUAGAGAGAAGAAGAAGAAGAAGCAAACGAGAGAGAGAGAGAUAAGAACUAAUUUAAUUGUUUUUUCACUCGAUAGAUAAGAUAAAAUAAGUAUUUGGCCUUUUUUUUAUAAAUUCCAUAAAAUUUCCCUAUCUAAUUUUAAUUUGAAAGUUUAAUACCCAAUGUUAUUUGAUUGGAAACAAAAUGCAUGGUUUAUUAAUUUGUUGUCUAUUAAUAUAUCAAGUAUAUAAAAAUUGUUGAAUCGAAUAAACCGCUUAAGAACCGAUAAUCGGAUUGACGGAAUCACUAAACCGGGGUUAAUAAAAUUACACUAAACUUAGGGUUUAUCGAUCCCAAUUCGAUUUGAGGUAAUAGCAAAAGACAAUGUAGCCUUUGGAUAACCCCAAAUUACCCGUGUGUUUAGGGAUUAGUGAUUUCGUCAACCUCGGUUUAGUGAUUCCGUCAAUCCGAUUAAGCGGUUUAUUCGAUACGACAAUUUUUAUAUAGUUAAUGUAUUAAUAGACCAAAAUUUAAUAAACCAUGCAUUUUAUUUCCAAUCAAAUAACAUUAGGUAUUAACUUUCAAAUUAAAAUUAGAUGGGGAAUUUUUAUGGAAUUUUCCUUUUUAUUUUUUUCCCUCUUAUAAUUUAAGUGUCUGAAAGGAAUCUUUCCGGUUCCGGACAAUAUGCAGUAAUUCUUUUUUACUAUUACUACAAAAAGAUUGUUUAAAUUAUAUUAUGAAAAUAAUAUACAUAUAUUUUUAUGAAAAUAAUAUACAUAUACUUUCAUAGAAAGAUAACGUAAUAAGUGUUUAAAUAUAAUAUGAAAAUAAUAUACAUAUACUUUCAUAGAAAGAUAACGUAAUAAGUGUUAAAUAUGGAACUGAUCAUAAAGAUCACAGCAAAUAUUUGUAAAUUGAUAAUUCUUAAUACAGUAAAACCUCUAUAAAUUAAUACUCGAUAAAUUAAUAAUCUCUAUAAAUUAAUAAAUUUCCCAGGUCCCAACUUGGGACCAGUGUAAUUUUAGACAUAUUUCGAUAAAAUAAUAAGAUAAUAAUUUUUUUGAAAAUCCUUUGUAGAUAUAUAGUCCCAUCAAUAUUAUAAAUUAAUAAUUAGGUAAAAUUUUCAAAAUAUAUGUAUAUAUAGACACAUUAGUUUUUGUUAUAUUUUAUUUAUAAUAUUUUACUAUAUGAAAAAUAGUUAGCAUUAUCUUUUAAUACAUAAUAAUUUUUAUUUUAUUUUUAAUUGAUUAUAUAAAAUACUAAUUAUCAUGAUUAAAUCUUAUUUUUAAAUAUUGUCUUAAAUAUUUUCCAAAUUAGGAAUAUCUCUUUAUAAAUUAAUAAUUAUUAAUUUAUCGAUAAAUUAAUACCUCUAUAAAUUAAUAGAUUUUCAUGGUCCCAACAUUAUUAAUUUAUAGAGAUUUUAUGUAGAUGGAAAAUUAAUCAUUCAACUUUCUUUUCCCAAUUUUAAAAAUUCAACUCAGUACCUACCCACUGUUCUUUGGUUGACCGGUUUAUGUCGAAAAGUAAAAAGUUAAUUCCCAUCAUCUUAUUUAUUACAAGGAAUAUAUAAAUAAAUAAAUAAAAACUUGGAAGAAAAGAAACAAGAGAGCAAACAAAAACAGAGAAAAACAAACACCCAAGACGAAAUUGAAAUUGUGUCUUAUGAAGAGGAUCGAGCCAAUGACGACAGACGAAGCCAGAAAGGUCCGUCUCUUUGGAUGUAUGAUUGAUGAUUGACGGCCUUCGUUGGUGGGCUACUCUCUUGUUGCUUUCGGGUUCAUUGACCGUUUCUCCAAUCUUGAAACUUACUUAAAGACUUGAAUCGUUCUAUUUAUUGUAGUAAUGCCUAAUAAUCAAUGAACAACUUGGACAACAAAUACUAGUCGGACGUAGGAACUAUGAAGUGACAAAUUUUAAAUAAUCUCAUACGAAAAUUAGACAAUAAUAACUGAUCGAUCAUAAGAGAUUCAUAAAAAAUGACAUUAUCGGAAAUGAAUAGUUGAUAUUCUUAUAUUUAAGCUUUAUAUAGUUAUUAGAUCUCACUGUCCUUUAACAUUGGCCUAAUCGUAGCCACAUGCAUGAACACAUCCAACAAAAAAUAAAAAACACUUUUUCUAACCCGCAAAAACAACGAUGCUAUCAAAACAUAUAUAACGCAUAUAGGUGUCGACUUUUUUGAUAAAGAUCUGUAACAAGGAAAGUGACAUCUCCAAUUAUAUAUCUCCAUUGAUCGAUAAGAUCCUAAAGAAUCUUCCACCAUAUAUACUCUUUCUUUCUCUGUAAGUACUGUCCAAAAAAGUGUGUGUUAGCCAUUGAGAAAAGUCGCAUAGCUAUUACCACAAAAGGCCAAAGUGAAUAAUUAUUGGUACGUAUGUUUUGUUCCAUUUCUUCUUAUCAACUCAACCUUUUUUUGUUUGUCAAGGAAUCUUGUCUCAAGUCCCCAUUUGUUUUGUAUAUAUCACAGAGCUAUAUCUCUUGUUCCAUCCUUCCAAAUGUAACCUUCCUAAGAAGUUACAACUUAGGGACUGAUCAGCAUAUAUCUCUGUUUCUCCACAUCCUAAUAGUAUCUCUAUUAUUAAUCUAACAAGUUUCAAAGUUAGAUGAUUUUUGAAUUUUCAUGAUAUACAUACGAGCGAUUUGCUGACAAACUCAUAAUUACGAAUAGCUUGCGAGACACUCUUUGUGCGGAUUCUUCAUAAAAAUAAAAACAAUACACCAGAAAGAUCUCAGGAAGAAACCUCUUAUUAUAACAACGCUGUGUGACAAUUACAUCAGACUUCACAUAUCUUCAUCUCUAUCUUCUUCUUCAUCACAAUCCAUUUCCCUUUUUUUUUUACAUUUGAAUCUCCUCAAAUACAUAACAUAACAAAACAAAUAAACAAACAAACAAAAGAAUGUAUAUAUGAAGGAAAAAAAAAUAUUCCAGGUUCAUCCCGCUAACGUUCAUUUUUCACGUCGCAAAGAUAACAUUUGUUGUUACCCGGUCUAUAGACCAAGACUGGUCUCGAGUUUAUGGGGUCCUUCUAGCAACUGGUGUUUCCCCUGUUGCUGGGACCAGUAGGCAUGAGCCGUUAGUACCCUGUCUAAGAGCUCCUGUGGAACCGGCUCACCUCUCCUUUGUUGCGGUGAGAUUCUUGCCGUGUGCACCAGCGUCUUCCAUUUGUCCUAUUUAUUAUUCACAUCAAACCCAUGUUACUUCUUGCACAAUCAAAGUAUACCUCAUUACUGCACCUACCUGGUGAAGGGACUGAGUUGUAAAAGGAGAGGUUUUCAUCUACCUUCAAAUCAACGUAAGUCCGGUGCUUAGCAUUAUCAAAAGCUCGCAACUUUACAUCACGCCACCUGCAGAUAGAUGUGCCCAGGAAUAUUAGAAUUAUCAUGGACCUAAGUACUGAUGGAAAUUAAGUCUUAUACUUUUGGUCUAACAUAAAACAUUUUAGUUACCUUCCGGUGCCAAGUCUCUCCACAGCUUGAACAAGGGCCUCUACUUCUGCAACAGAGAAAGGUCUACGGAUUCUGCGCUGUGCCACCUCAGAUCGCUUGGUUUUCCGAGGUGGGACUACGGUCAAAGCCUGAGCAUGCAGAGGAGGGACUGGAAUCAGGGCUCUGGAGUAUAUGGUUUUAGCCCUAUUUGGUGCAGAGGGUUUGGAGUCAAGGUCACUUUCUACAGAAUUACUCGGUUUAGCAUGCUUCCCCGGUGAUGGGAGACACCUAGUGUGAUCCACACAAGUUCCGAAAAACAUCAGCAACAUAAUUAUUUUCUACACCAAAGAAAAAAGAAGCAAACACUGAUCUCUGGAGUGACACUGACCUUGGUAAAGUGUUAGGUACAUUACAGGGACGCACAGAGUCAGAAUUAUCUUCAGGAGGUAGUGGUUUAGUGGAUUGUGGAGGAUUGGGCUCAAAACAAAACCCUAAAGUAUCUGAAAGAGUGUCUAAAGAGAGUCCACUCUGAAGCAGCAUUUUACUGUCGUCUCUAACCUUUUUCCCAUGAGCAAGAACACCUAUGCGUAAUCCACCUCCAAGUAUCGAGGUCACAGCUUCCAAGACUGUCCUCUAGAGAAGAGGAAGUAAAUUUUCAUCAUUAUCACCGGACACAUGAAUGACCCUUUCAGAAAUUUCUAAGUCAAAGAUCCAAACCUUUAGUGAACCAACAGUUGCUGUCUCUGGAAUCUCAAUGAAAAGUUCAGGAACUCUAAAUGACUUAAUUCCAAGUUUCACUAAGCACGGCAAAGAAAAAUGAACUCAAUCAAAUUACAAAUCUCAUGAGUGAUAACUGAUAAGAACAUGAAAAGCUUCAUAAAAACAUUUACCGUGAGAAUCUCUUGAUUGCAACGCUGGCUGCUUCUGGCAAGCUAUGGAAGAUAGAAAACCUGAAGCUGCAGAGAACAAUGCUCAGAGUUAAUCAUAACGUGGUUUUGACGUUGAAGUUCAAAUGACUAGCUUUUGGUAAUACCCUUUCGAGGUGAACCAGAAAGGCCAUCAGUUUUAGCAGUUUCUUCGGAUUGUGAUGCUGUAUAACCAUCAAAGUAUCUUCUUUUUUUAAUAGGAAAGUUCCUCUCUGAUCUUAGGCUUUUGAGACAAUGUUUCUUGCUGUAGUAAUCAUGCUUCAUGUCCAAGUCUAAACAUUUUCAUUGAUAAGGCCAUAAGUAAACCAAGACAUCUUUAAAAGAACAUAUAACUAGUAGCCCACAAAUGGUCCAUAUAUAUGUUCACCUGAACUAGUUACCGUUGUAUCUCUUGGCUUUGGAGAGACUUUACAAUACUUUGAAGCCAAAACUUUCCUUAUUCUUCUAUCUCCAAUACGCAGAGUUGACCUAAAUGAUUUUGUUCUGUAACGGGCUGAGAAGUUUUCGUCAUCAUCAUUUCCCUUACCAUGUAAAUCUAUAUCAUCAGAGCAUGCUGAAGGAUUUUGAGGAAUUGGUUUCCUGAAUCCACUACCUAUAUGAUUCUCAUCCUUGGCUAAAACAUUCCUUGAUAACUUUGCUUCAAAAUUUAGCCCCCCAAACAUUGGUUUCUUAUCGUUACACUCUGACCUAUAGCAAUGAUCACUAUUGUCGAUCUUGGUGUCCUCAUACACCAAUCCUUGAGUUUCAAACUUCUCAGAAGAAUCAGAGGUUAUACCAGAAGAAGAUCCAAAAUGGAACUCUGUAAGGGGACUUGGAGAUCUAUUAAAACUCUGAGUUUCAUGAGAUUUUGGAAGGAUCUCAGAGACAAAAAAGCUUCUUUCAGGAUUAUUAUUAUUAUGAUCACAAUUAGUAGUCUCUUCUUCAACCAUUAGGUCGCCGCCGUUAAGCUGUUCUGUCUUAACUGCACACUGAUCGUCAUUAUUACCAGAUGCGUUGUUACUUGAGGAAGAAGAAUUCCCACCUUCAAGAAGCAGUUUUCCAGCUACUGCAGCCAACAGAUCGAACGACGAUAUUUGAUGGUUUUCGCUUUUCUUCUUGAAAGCACUCUUCUAGACAAAACACAAAACAUACAUAUCAGAGGAGGGGAAGAUUGGAACAUGAAACCGUUAUGAGAAACACAAAAGUGAAGAAAUCUCUUUUAUUUACUCUUGGUGAUCUAGCAGCUCGAGGUGUGUGAGGCACCUCGUAGCCAUUGAAUCCAUAAUCGAGCCUCUUUUGCAACACCAUGAUUCGAAGAACAUUUCAGACAUUCAGCAAAAGGAAGGCAUCUUCACGGAUUACAAGAUCACCUGCAGGAAAACAAAACUAUGUUAACGAGUCCAACAAUGUAUUAGAAUUUUCCAACAGAUCUAUUUAUAUCAUCCUGAGAGAUAUCUCUUUUAAGUUAAACCUCGCUAGAACCCAAUAAUUUUCUACUUGCCAAGAUUAAAAGCCUCACUUGAUUAAUUAAUGAUUGUAAAGAAAGAAAAAGAAACAGAGCAAGAACUCAGACCAGAAUAUCUAAUUGGCAAGAAAAAUAAAUGAAAACCUAAACAUUAAAUUCAUGAAACCAAACACAGUUAUGGUUCUUAGGAAACACAUCGAAACCCACGUUAAAUAAAAAUCCUUCCUUUUAUUCAGGUUCUAGAAACAGGAUUCACCGCAAUUCGAAUAGCAGAUCCAAGAAAACAUCAAAAAAUUCUCACCUUUUCGAGAAACAAGGCAAAUGCACGAGGAUCAGAGAAACAAGAAGAAUCAGCAGACUGAAAUAAAAAUGUUUUCGUUUUCAAUUUUCACAUCAAAACCAAAAAAGAAAAGUCUCUGUUUUUGUGUUUUUGUGUUUUUAUGUUUUUCUUGGUGGGAAGGAAAAUGAAAAACCCCUGUAAUGUGGGAAAGGAAGAAAAGAGAAAGAAACUACGGAAGGAGAAGAAGGGCUUAAACCCCUGGUCUUAUAACGAACGAGUAGUAGUAACAACAGAGGAGGACGUGUCCGAAAGAAAGAAAGAAGAAGAGCGAAUAACCGGCUAUAACCAGUAAACCCCACCCUGAAGACCUGUUCUUCUUCUCCCCUUGUUGGGUCACCCACCACUCCCCCCCUGAUUCGGACACGUGUUCUCUCUGUCGGAUCGUGCGGCCUUUUUUACCACACACGAACUUCGACAAAAACGUUCAGUCACAUAUGCCAUGUAACCUUUCUUUUUUUUCCUUUUUUUUUUUCUUUUUCUUAAGUCCAAGCCAUGUCAUUCUCCUUUUUUCCUUUUAUUGUCUUUUUCAAUUUUCCUUUUAUUUAUUUUGAAGGAUCCCUCUCUUAUAAAAACAAAAAGAAAAUUAGUUUUGAUAAUUUUGUUUUCCAAUGGAGAAAUAAUAUUUAUUUAUCUGAUGCAAAAUACGUAAAAACCUAAGGUACAAUACAAUAUGUGGCAAGAUAAGCAUCCACAACUUAACAUUUAGGUAUAAUCAUGAACGUAAUUCAAAUGAGAGUUAAUUCCGUAGCAUGGGAUGAAGUUUUAAACAUAAGCACAUUUAAAGAUUUGACUACAACCUUUGGAGAGUGUCUUUCGAAGAGAAAUAUAAAGAUAAAAAGACUAACGAGCUGAAGGAGUAUCACUGAUGGAAGUUAUGCUGUCUACCAAGGACUUUGUUGAAUUUGAACCUUGGCUCCUUCGUUUUCUUAAGUUCUCAUAUAUUUCCAAACACUCAUUUAGUUCAUGAGCAACCCGAGUCAUGUUUGGCCUCUCUGUGGAACAAGGGUUAAUGCACGACAUCGCUAACUCAAGAGCUUUCCAAGAUGAACCUGUGUCGUAAUCUUGAUGGAGAUUCGGGUCCAUAAUACUUUCAAUAUCACCAUUUGAUAUCAUAGAUAUUGCCCAUUCUACAAUGUAAGACUUAUCACGCGAUUGUUCGAUCACGUGUUGGCCAGUGAUUAUCUCUAGUAACACAAUCCCAAAGCUAUAAACAUCACUCUUCUCUGUUAACCAAUUCUUUUUGUAGUAUCUGCAAGAUAAGUAAUUGAAGAUAUUUGAAUUUUCCAUACUAAACAACUUGACGACUAAAAUGUGAUAUGAACUAAAACUUACUCAGGAUCAAGGUAUCCAAGAGUUCCCGCAACAUUUGUUGAUACAUGAGUUUGACUCCCCACUAGAAAAGAUCUCGAAAGUCCGAAAUCAGCGAGUUUAGCUUCAAAUUGUCGACCUAGCAGUAUAUUGGUACUUUUCACAUCUCUAUGAACCAUUGGCGGCUUACAUCCAAUAUGCAAAUAUUCAAUUCCUAGUACAUAAAAUCUUCAUAUGUUAACUAUAUAUCACUAAAAUAUGAAUUUUAGAAGGCAUAUGGAAAUAUCAAAUAUAAUUGAGGAAAAAGUAACAAAAAUUAUACAUACCUAGCGCAGACUCAAUAGUUAUCUUAAGUCUACCCGACCAGUUCAAAACAGAGCCACCACGUUUUCCUGUCAAAAUUCACAAUAUGGGACAUAAAUCAUUAGAAAAUUUUAAAAGCCUAAAAUAUCUGUGUAUCAUACUCUAAUGGUACCUGAGAGAUGUUCCCUUAAGUUUCCGUAUUCCAUGAACUCGUAGAUGAGAGCCAAGUCAUUUCCUUCAUCACAGUAUCCGACGAGGCUUACUAAAUUCACGUGGUGAACUCUAAGAAGUAGUUCGACCUAACAAUCAACAAUAUGGUAUAAUUCAUGAGCUUAAGAUUGUCCAAAAAAAAGUAGAAGAUUGUAGUGUAAUUAAGUACUUCUGUUUUGAAUUCCUUGUAGCCUUGAGUUGAUGAUUGAGAGAGAACUUUGACAGCUACUUGCUCAUUAUUGAGGAAACCAUGAUAAACAAUACCAAAGCCUCCUUUACCGAGAACAACUUUGAAGUUACUAGUCAUUUCUUUGACCUCUGAAUACGUAAAUCUUCUAUUUUUCAUUUCAAGUGAUGGGCGCAUAACUGCAGAAAAUAAUUGUAUAGAUUGAGAUUGCAUACUUCAGUAGGAUCAUAUAUAUUUAUAUUAACUACCUUUGCGAGUUGAUGACCUUCUCCUUCUGAAAAUGAAGAUGAGAACCAACACGAUAAUAACAACUGCCGCAGAAGAUAUAGACGCAGCAACAAUCGCCACCAGUCGGGAUCUUGGUUCGCUUGAUCCACGCGGCUUAUUAUUUUCAUCGACACUAAAGAGUGAAAACGUUAUUGAAGAAAUAAAUUAUCAAACGAGAGUGGAUUAGUAAUCAAAAUUAAAUAAGAUCGUCUCAAAGCAGAAUCUUACUAUAGCUUUAAUCCAUCUUUUUCUCUUUCCAGAAGGGCUUGAGGAACAAAACCUCUAAGAUUGUUUCCUCUAAAGUUUCUGUAUAUGUAUGUGGAGAAAUCAUAAGAAACUAAUGUAGACAACACAAUAGGUUUUAGAUAACUUACAUGACCAACAACGAUUUCAUCUUGGCUAGAAAUUCAGGCACCUCUCCAGUCAAGUUGUUAUUUGAUAAAUCCCUAAAAUUUUCCAAGCGAUAGAUGUUAACGUAGCAAUCCAUAUAGAGUUUCUUUUUUUCCUUUCGUUCAAUCAUGUACGUAGAUACCUACAAUUCUCGAAGCAGACUUAGAUUUUGUAUGCUAGGCGGUAUAACUCCAGUUAAUCCACUUGAAGAUAGAUCUCUGUUUUGCAUGACCGCAAAGACAUAUCACAUAAAGAUGCAUUUAGUUUAAUAACAAUGAAUAAUAUGAAUUUCCUUACAACGCUAUGAUUCUUGGUGGAGUGGAGAUAUCAAUAACGUUGCAGCUUAAACCAUUCCAUGAAAACUGUUUAGGGACACAUGGAUCACCCUGCCAGCUGAUUCGACUCAACUGAUAAGUAGAUUGAAUGUUCUUGAUAGCAUUGACUGACCAAUGUACGAGCAAAAAAUAAAAUAAAAAAUUAAACAUGUGGAAGAACAGAACUUAUACGUUUUAUAUAUACAUGCAUAAAACUAUACGGCUACAAUAUACCAUCAUCUCUAUUCGUCUCUGAUUGUGGAAAUUGUAUGACGCUAAAAAGCUCUAUAGCAUUCAGUAGAGGUGGUAGAUUCGAUUUGGGCGUUUUUGACAGCUUCAGAAGACAUACCCCUCCCUCGCAUUUCAGCGGUGCAGGGUUAAAUAAAGUGUCUUCUUCAAAGUUCAUAGGACUAUAAGAAAUGUAAACUUUACCAUUGGCCGCAAUUUCGAAUUCCCUAGUUUCGUUGGGUUGCAAUCUUUGGAUCUCGGCGAAGUAAAGGUAAAUAUACGUUUCGUCAUCAGAGGCUUCCAAAUUCCAGGUAAAGGAAAAUGGUUCGCUGACAUUAGUGGGUAUGGCAGCGGUCGUAAUUACAUCUCGUGGCGCGUCAUAGCCAUCAGGAGAGCCACUUACAUUCAAGGUUGUGUUUAUAUGAGUCCAUUCCUGUUGUAAGUAUGGAGUCCAAACACGAUCAUAGACAUCUUUUGGAUAGCUGCCACAACCAAAUUAUUAAUUACUUUAUACCAAUAAGCCAACACUGAUGUAAAUAUCAAUAAGCCCAAAAAAACAAAAAAAACACACAUGGUUAUUUUAUAGAAGAGUCUUAUGUUGUUGACAUACCGUAUUAUCUUGUCUGAAUUAAGGAAGUAGAGGUGCGCAAUAUUCAUCAAGGAACCGGUUCGAGUAGUAUAAGUAUCAUAUCGCAAGGGUCUCAACUCUAUGGCUGAUAUCAUUGGUGUACUCGUCCCAGUUUUGACGAGACAUAUCUCCAAGAUGUCUGACUUGGUGAUGUGAAUGAUCUCCUCGACAACUCCAUCACCUAUGCCAGAUAUUAGCACAUCUACGCUUUUCCAAAUAUUAGGACCGAGAUAUAGGUCGAAUCUUGGAGAAGUAUUAAGACCGUCAUAGUUUCCGUAUAAAAACAUAGUCCUGAUUAGAUACUUUGUGCCUUGCUUCACACUCAAACUGUAGCAGUUUCUAGUUCCAUCCGGGAAGUAUCUCAAAACCUUGAAUGGCUUCCCGACAAGGUCUGUCUCUGCGCUAAUUUUGAUAUUACCAGUUUUUCCUCCUCGGAUGAAAUUGACAUCAGAUAUGUAUGUUAAAUUGGUCAAUGGUUCGUUAUAAGGAGAUUCAUUAGAAGGUAAUCCACAGUCCAAACUGAUGAAUCCUGGUAAAACAAGAUUGUAAACUAUCCGAACAAGAUUUCUUGUGUGUUUAUUAGAUUAAAAAUUGUGUAAAAGACAAUAAAAAUACCUUGUUGAUUUUGAGACUUAACGAAGGAUAUAAUGGAGAAAGUGGCACAAGCGAGUAGCAGAAGCUUGUUACGAGUCUCCAUUCUCGAUUCUGGACUUAACUGCUUCUCACUUCUAAACAAAACAAAAACUUAAGGACAACCAAAAAGUCUUUACAUAUUUUACUAGGAACUCCUUCUGCUCUUAUGAAGUCAAAAAGUAGGCAGUUGACAUUGCCAAGUCUAACAUCUUGGACAUAUGGAAACGUCACUUCCAAGCUAUCUUAAUGUAAGUGGCAAAAAAAUAUAUAUACAAAAUAACAGUCUAAGAUGGAACGAGUAAUAUUUAGGAAGCUGUCAAAUAAUAUAUGGUUCAUUCCACCACUCCGAAUCAACAUUUAAAUUUUUAACUAUAUUAAGUUGGACAAGAAAUUCUCAAAGCACAUGAUUAAAAAAUGAGUUGAUCAUAACGUUUUAGGUUACGGUUUACGGUAUGAUGUAAUUCUAAUAUUAAACUUGUAUUAGGCAUUUUGUGAUACUAAAUUUAAUUUAUUCAUUUAAUUUUUAAUAAUUAAUUAGAUUUUGUUACAAUCUCAUCAUCUAAACAUUUACAACUAACCGUUUCAGAAAUUUCAGCGUAACACACUUAAAAAGAUUUUAUAGUUCCACUUGAAAAAGUAUUUUAACAUAUAACAUAAAAUUAUGAGAAUUUAGCAGCAAUAACCAAAAAAAAAAAUCUUUGUAACCAUCAAACCCUCAUACUUUCUAUAUUUUCUACAAUAUAUACUACUCUGUCUUUUUCACCACCACCUCUUUUAUCACCUAACACCACCACCUCUACCACCAUCACCACCACCUACUCUCUUACCACCACCUUAACACAACCUUCACCCACUAUCUUCAGCCACCACUUCCGACAACCAUCACCUCCAACCACCUCCUCCGGCCAUCUCUUCCGACCACCACCUCUGGCCACCAUCGCCGAAAACUGACUUUCGACCACUACCGCCGCCACCGACCCCCGGCCACCACCGCCGGCCACCACUAUCAUCUUCACAUGUGCCCUCUUUUGUCCUUUUACAUUGACCAAUGGUUAUUCACCUAAUUUAUUGUAUUAAUAUGUUAUAUUUUUUGUUGGUUUUUUUGUAUUGGUUAGAGAGCUAAUUCACCCUAAAAUUAUUUUACUUUGCUCGCCUAUGUUAAUUUGCUAGUUUUGCGAUCUUGUUUCUUCUCACGCGCUCUAGUUUUGCAAUUUUGGAAAAUUAGCCGAUUUGGAGCGAGUUAUUAACACACGCUAGUUUUGCGAGUGCGGAAUUUGUUUUCACGCGCUAUAGUCUUGGAUCAGUUAUUUUAUCAGAGUCCCGCUGACAAUUAUACUGGGUAGUAUAAUUUUGUACUACCCCAGUAUUUUUAACGGCCCAUAUGUGAUUUAAUAUCAUUGCACUACCAGUUCGUUACUUCGAUUCGAUCAUUUUUCUUACUUAUGUUUUUUUUUUUAUCUUGUUUACGUUACACUUUUUUUUUUUUUUGUUGCAUUUACAUUAUAUCAAACUUGGAGUCACUUCCGUACCAGGAGAUAACGCUUUUUUAACACUAUUCACAUUACAGACUUGAAUACAACCAGUAUAAGCUUCAAAGAAUAUAGAUGGAAAGAUUAACGAGCUGAAGGACUAUCACUGAUGAAACUUACGUUAUGUACCAUGGACUUUGAUGAAUUUGCAUCUUGGCUAUUUCUUUUACUAAAGUUGUCGUAUAUUUCCAAACACUCGUUUAGUUCAUGAGCAACCCUGGUCAUGUUUGGUCUCUCUCUAGAAGAAGGGUUUAUGCAUGACAUUGCUAAUUCAAGAGCUUUCCAAGAUGAUCCCGUGUCGUAUUUUCCCUGGAGAUUCGGGUCCAUAAUUCCUUCAAUAUCACCAUUCGCUAGCAUAGACGUCGCCCAUUCUGAUAAGUAAGAAUUUUCACGGGAGUAUUCAAUCGCAGGCUGGCCAGUGAUUAUCUCCAAUAACACAAUCCCAAAGCUAUAAACAUCACUCUUCUCUGUUAACCAAUUCUUUUGGUAGUAUCUGCAAGAUAAGUAAUCGAAGAUGUUUGAAUUUUCUUUACUAAUAACACAAAGAAAGCAUACAAUGUGAUAUAUGAACUAGAACUUACUCGGGAUCAAGAUAUCCUAGAGUUCCGGCAACAUUUGUUGAUACAUGAGUUUGGCUUCCCACUAGAAAAGAUCUUGAAAGUCCGAAAUCGGAGAGCUUGGCUUCAAAAUGUCGACCUAAAAGUAUAUUGGUACUUUUCACAUCUCUAUGAAUCAUUGGCGGCUUACAUCCAAUAUGCAAAUAUUCAAUUCCUAGUACAUAGAAAAAUCUUCAUAUAUUAACUAUAUAUCACUAAAAUGUGAAUUUAGAAGGCAUAUGAAUAUUUGUCCAAAAAAAAAAAAAAGAAGGCAUAUGAAUAUAUCAAAAUUGAGGAAAAAGUAACAAAAUACCUAGCGCAGACUCAAUAGCUAUCUUAAGUCUACUCGACCAGUUCAAAACAGAGCCACCACGUUUUCCUACCAAAAAAUUCACAAUAUGGUUAGAAAUUAUUAGGAAUUUUCUAAAGCCUUUGGCUUGUAUCUCAAAAAAUCAUACUCUAACUAUGGUUUUACCUGAGAGAUGUUCCUUUAAGUUCCCAUUUUCCAUGAACUCAUAGAUGAGAGCCAAGUCAUUUCCUUCAUCACAAUAUCCGACGAGGCUUACUAAAUUCACGUGGUGAACUCUUAGAAGUAGCUCGACCUAAUUAACAAUCACCAUUAUGAAAAGGUUUUUUAUUUAGGAGCGCAUGCAUAAUUGUCUCCGAAAAUUAAAUGGAAGAUAGUAGUGUAAUUAAGUACCUCUGUUUUGAAUUCCUUGUAGCCUUGAGUUGAUGAAUGUGAGAUAACUUUGACGGCUACUUGUUCAUUGUUUAGAAAACCACGACAAACAACACCAAAGCCUCCUUUACCCAACACAACUUGAAAGUUAUCUGUCAUUUCUCUGACCUCUGAAUACGUAAAUCUUCUAUUUUUCAUUUCAAGUGAUGGGCGCAUAACUGCACAUUAAUAGUUUUAACACGUUCAAAAUAUUUCAUACUUUGGUAUGAUCUCAUAUUUUUCUUUAUUUAUACAAUUCUCUAGUGAGUACUUACCUUUCCCACUUGAUGUCUUUCUCCUUUUUAAAACGAAGAUGAUAACUAACACAAUUAUGAUAAUGGCCACAAGAGAUGAAACAGAUGCGGUAACCACCACCAAUGGAAAUUUUGAAUGGCAUGAUACACAUAGGUCUUUAUUUCCUUCAAGACUAAAGCAAAUAAUGUUGUUUGUGUUUAUAUCACAGAAAACAAGACAGAUGAAUAGUGAUCAAAAGAAGAUAACCAUGGAAACGAAUCUUACUUUAGUUGUAGUCCUCCCUUUUUUCUAUUAAGAAGGGCUUGAGGAAUAGGACCUCUAAGAUUGUUUCCAUUUAAGUUUCUGAAUAAGUAGAAAAGUUAUAAGAUAAUAGGAUCUGAUAUAAUAAAAUUAUUUGCUGUGCUUUUCCCAAAAAACUUACAUUUUCAACAAGGAGUUCAUCUUGGCUAGAAACUCAGGCACUUCUCCAGUUAAGUUGUUAUUGGACAAGUCCCUGUAAUUUUGUUAGACAAAAAUGCAGGAAAAAAAAUCUUAGAAAUUCUGCAAAGAAAGUUUUCACUUUAUCCAAAUAUGAAGAUACUUACAAUUCUUGAAGUUGGGUUAGAUCUUGUAUGCCAUGCGCUAUAACUCCAUUUAAUCCACUUCCAGACAAGUCUCUGUUAUAAUGAUGAGAGACGUAUCAAAUCAGAUGUAUUCAGGUUAUUUUGAUAAGUUAUAGCUAAUAAAUUUAAGUUUGCAGUGUACUUACAAUGCUAUGAUCCUUGGUGGUGUGGAAACAUCGGUAACACUGCAGCGUACACCAAUCCACGAGAAUUGUUUGGGAACACAUGGAUCACCUUGCCAACUGAGUUUAUUCAAUCCAUAUGCUGAAUCUAUUUUCUUAAUAGCACUGACUGAAACAUAAGAAUAAGUUAACCUAACCAUUGUGGGAUUCUCAUCAUAUAUAUGUCUUAUGAUAUGCAUAAAAUGAAAGUACAAAGCCACACAUACCAUCAGUUUGAUUUGUUUCUGAUUGUGGGAAAUCAAUGGCUGUGAAAAUCUCUAAAGCAUUCAUCAAAGGUGGAAGAGUGGACCUUGGCGUUUUUGACAACUGCACUCGACAUACCCCUCCCUCGCAUUUUAGCGGUACAGUGUUCGUUAGCAUCUCUACUUCGAACUUCUUGGGACGAAUAGGUGAGAAUAUGACUUUACCAUUCGCCACAAUUUCUAUUUCUCUUGUUUCAUUGGAUCGCACUUGUUGGAUAUCGGCGACAUAUAUGUAAGCAUAAGUUUCAUCAUCAGAGCUUUCCAAACUCCAGGAAAAGAUCAAUGGCUCUCUAUCAUUAGUGGGUAUGGCUGCUGUCCUAAUUACAUCUUGUGGCAAGUCAUAGCCACCAGACGAAUCAGUUACGUUGAGGGUUGUGUCUAUAUGCGUCCAGUCUGGCUGGAAGUACGGAGUCCAAAUACGAUCAUGAACAUCUUUGCGGUGCCUGCCAAAUCAAAAUUCAAGUAUUUACGUUAGAUCGAUAUAUAGAAUGAAAAAUGGAUUGAGAAACACUUGUAGUCUAGUGGUUUGUGCUAGGCUACUAAUAUUGUCCCGUGUCAUAGAUCCAAAUUUGAAAGUGUGAGUGUGUAAAUUAAGUUGUAGACGGCCAAAACAAUAAUAAUAAUAAAAUGGGUCAAGUUUAACAUACUUACAGUUUUGUGUUGUUAGAAUUGGUGAAGUAGUAGCGCACUAAAUUCUUCAAGGAACCGGUUUGUGAAGUAUAAGUGUUGUACGGCAAAGGUCUUAGUUCAAUGGUUGAUAUAAACGGCGCACUUGUUCCUGUCUUAACAAGACAUAUAUCCAAAACCUUAGAUCUUGUGACGUAGAUAAUCUCCUCAACAGCAGAACCAAAAUCUGUUGUUCGCAGAUCUAGGGUUUUCCAAAGAUUAGGACCAAGAUAGAGGUCGAAUCUUGGGAAAAUAUUAAGACCAUCAUAAUUUCCGUAAACAAACACUGCCCUGAUGAGGUAAUUUGUGUCUUGCGUGACACUCAAACUGUAGCAGUUCCGCGUUCCGUCAGGAAAGUAUCUCAAAACCCUAUACGGCUUUGUGAUAAAGUCUGUCUCAAGGUCUUUUUUGAUGGUACCAGUUUUGCCUCCGCGGAUAAAACCAGCAUCAGAGAUGUAAGUGAUAUUGGUCACUGGUUCCACAUAAGAAGACUCACUGGAAGCUAAUCCACAGUCAAUACUGAUGAAUCCUGGUAAAACCAGAGAGAUACGUAUCAGAAAGAUAUUGUUUUAUAAAAUCAAGUACUCUAUAUCAAAAAGAAUCUAUGUAUAGAAGAAAAGAGAGAAGUAAAAAUACCUUGUUGAUUCUGAGACUGAACAAAGUGUAUGAUGGAGAAAGUGGCAAAAGCGAGAAACAGAAACUUCUUGCAAGUCUCCAUUAACUACGUAUGAUCAGUUAUCAACCAAAUCAACAAAACUUAACACACUACCAAAGCCUUGAAACAUCAAUAUGAAGUCAUAUAUUUAUGAAUGUGUAUGUAUGUAUAUCUGUUUCAUAUUUAGUAACGUAAAGUCAACUUAAUGCAUACGUUAAUCAGCAAAAAAAAACAUGGCUAGCUAGCUAAGUAAACAGUGCUGGCAGUCUUUAAAACAAAGGAAAAAAAUAUGGAUUGCAAUAUCAAUAUGGAUGGUGAUAUGAUUUUGCUGUCGGGUUACAAUUUGAAAACAAUGUGAACCAAGUCAUUCUUCGUGACGAUAAACCGGCGGGUCAAUCGCAAUAAUAUAACUCAAGUUCCGUGAACGAAUCAAACUAAUGAUUUUUUUAAUGAAUUUGAAACAUAUAAUUGGCCUAGAGCCCAGAGGCUUCCUAUGCAUUAACUUACCCAUUGAUUAAUUUAAUUUAUUAAGGACCAUCGUUUCCGGCUUCUAUCCUAAUUACGUUGGCCCAACAAUUAUAAUGUAUUAAAUUUAGUGAGUUUCCCUACUAUUUUAAUUGUCGCAGUAAUACACGCUUCUCUCAAUUCGAUUGCGAAAGAGGGAAAAAACAAAGAAACAAAACAUAAAAACAGAAGGAAACCGAAAAACAAAAAAGACACGUAACAUAUUAACUCAAUUUCGAAGUGAAAUUGAGAAUUUUAGCUAAUUUUGAACAACAACUCCACAGUCCACACAUCGUUCGCAAGACCGUUCUCGUGCUCUAGCCCUGCAUGUAUGUACGUUUGAUUUCUGCUUAAUUUCUUAUUUUCAUCUUGGAAAUUACAAUAUAUGUUUUCUGUUAUGCUCUUUUUGACUUUGUGUUUGUGAUUUCGUUACGUACCAAGUAUAUAACUCGUUGAAAGUAUAUAAUGGAAUAUCCAAUCUUUAAAAAAAAAAAAAAAAAAAAAAAAAACCCCAGUGACGAUCGAUCGACCAACAUAUUUUAUAAUUUAGACGUGAAACCCGUGUAAAAUUUUAUACUUCCACUUGAUAAAAAAAGUCUUACACCAUAAUACAUUAUUUCGAGAUUUCCCCACCAGCUAGGUUAAAUCUAAUUAAUGAUUUAAUUAGUCAACCGUUUCCUAAUAUAUCCAAAUUAAAAAGGUUUGAUUUGUCAUGCUCCAGGUUAUAAGUAUUUUAGUAGUUUUGUGGAUCCUGCUUUUUCUUGGACAGAGUAGGAUAAUGAAAAACCUCCGUGGACUUUUAUUGGCCUUCCUAAUAAUUAUGUCUUUUGGCAUUCCCGAUUUCGCUCAAGCACAAGAUCAACAAGGUACAUCUUUCUUCUUCUUUAAACUUAAUUAGUUUCCAAACUUAAACACUUGCCAAUUAUUUCUUGUCUUACCAGGAUUCAUCAAUUUAGAUUGCGGAUUACAAGCCAAUGAGUCUCCUUACACGGAACCAAUGACAAAGUUAACAUUCCGAUCAGACGCCGAUUUCAUCAAAAGCGGAAAAAGUGGUAAGAUUCAAAAUGUUCCGGGGAUGGACUAUAUAAAGCCAUACACAAUUUUGAGAUAUUUUCCGGAUGGAGUAAGGAACUGCUAUACGCUUAGCGUCGUACAAGGCACGAACUAUCUGGUCGUAGCCAUGUUUACCUACGGAAACUACGAUAAUCUUAAUACACAACCAAAGUUUGACCUUUAUCUUGGUCCAAAUAUAUGGACCACGGUCGAUUUGCAAAGAAAUAUAAAUGGUACAAGGCAGGAGAUCAUUCACAUAGCAAGGUCAACUUCUUUGCAAGUUUGUCUCGUUAAGACUGGAACAACUACGCCACUAAUAUCAGCCUUAGAGCUACGACCAUUGAGAAAUGAUACUUAUAUCCCUCAGUCUGGUUCCCUGAAGAAGUUGUUCCGCGUUCAUUUGACCAAUUCCAAAGACACUUAUAGGUAAGUCAACCUAGCCUAACUUGAUGAUCAAGAUAAGUUACGAUCAGUUUGCUAAAAUAAGAUCUCUUCAGGUACCCAGAAGAUGUCCAUGAUCGUCUUUGGACUCCAUUCUUCAUGCCGGAAUGGAAACUGAUACGAACAAGUCUCUCAAUCAACACUUCUGAUAAUGACUAUGAGAUACCGCAAGAUGUAGUUGCUACGGCAGCCACGCCUUCAAAUGUGAGUUUACCAUUGACCAUUUCUUGGAAUUUGGAAACACCUGACGACUUAGUUUAUGCAUACCUUCACGUUGCCGAGAUCCAGCCCUUAAGGGACAAUGAUACCAGGGAGUUCAAUAUUAGCGUAGGUCAAGAUGUUAGUUACGGGCCUGUUAGCCCUGAGGAGUUGCUAGUAGAUACGCUAUUCAACACAUCACCUGUGAAAUGCAAAGGAGGGACAUGCCAUUUGCAACUGAUAAGAACUCCAAAUUCAACUCUCCCUCCCCUCCUUAAUGCUAUUGAGGCGUUUACAACACUUGAGUUUCCGCAGUCCGAAACUUAUGAAAAUGACGGUAUGCGAUCAGCUAAAUACGAGUAGAUAGUUUGCUAUACACAUAUAUCUAUACUUAUUUAAGUUUUUUUCCGUUGUUAUGUUAGUCGUUGCUAUCAAGAGUAUAGUAAAAAGUUAUGGACUGAGUAGAAUUGGCUGGCAAGGAGAUCCAUGUGUUCCUCAACAAUUCUUGUGGGAUGGUCUUACCUGCGAGUACACCAAUAUAUCUACACCACCAAGAAUCCAUUCCUUGUACGUGACAUGGUCAAUGGGUUUUUAAAAAAAAAAAAAUCAUGGUUAAUGUUAAGAUCUGUGUUUCUUAAUAUCUUAGACUUUAAAUGGGUGUGUUAUCACCAGAGACUUGACCUCAAGUGAACUAACUGGAAUUAUAGUUCCUGGGAUCCAAAAUCUUACGGAGCUUCAAAGAUUGUAAGUAUGUCAGUUGAGUUCUACAAAAAUACUCUGUUUAUCAAGGCAAAACAUACAAUCAAUUGUAUCACUUUUGCAAAUGGUAGGGACUUGUCAAAUAAUAAUUUAACAGGUGGAGUACCUGACUUUCUAGCCAAAAUGAAAUCAUUGUUAGUCAUGUAAGUAACUCUGUCGGCUAUAUGAACACAUUACCAAUUUAGUAUUUAGUAUCACAGUAUGUUGAUGUUUAUUUAACUUUCUGUCUUUUUAACCUAGACAGAAACCUAAGUGGAAACAAUCUUAGUGGUUCCGUCCCUCAAGCUCUGCUCGAUAAAGUGAAAACUGGGUUGAAACUGAAGUAAGAUCUUGUCAACCAUCUUUUGUCAUUAAAUAGUUGAUGUCUUUAUUUGUAUUAUGUCUUCACUAAUACUUAAUUAGUUUGUUCAUAACACUAGCAUUCAAGGAAAUCCAAACCUUUGUUCUUCCGGUUCAUGCAACAAAAAGAAAAGUAACAUCAUGUUACCAGUUGUUGCAUCAAUUGCUUCUUUGGCUGCUAUUAUAGCAAUGACCACUCUUCUUUUUGUUUGUAUUAAAAGACGCCCAUCACGCGGUCAAGGUAUCGGUAACAAAGUCAUCAAACCAGAAUCAAUAGUGUUUGCAUACAUAGUUAAAUGCCUCAGAGAAUUGAUAGUGACUUAUUACUAUUUGUGUACAGUUCUAGGUCCAUCAUCAAGCCAACAAUCAAUAGUAACAAAAAAGAGAAGAUAUACAAACGCUGAAGUUGUUGCAAUGACAAAUAACUUUGAAAGAGUUUUGGGUAAAGGAGGAUUUGGGAUGGUCUACCAUGGUUAUAUAAAUGGUACCGAAGAAGUAGCGGUGAAGCUACUCUCUCCAUCAUCAGCUCAAGGCUAUAAAGAGUUCAAAACAGAGGUUUUUGUGCCACCACAACUAGUUUUAAUCCAUUUUGUAAGAGCUCAAGUUUAUGUAAAUAUAUCUUGUACAUAUUUGGAUAGGUAGAACUUCUUCUAAGGGUUUACCACACAAAUCUGGUAUGUCUUGUUGGAUACUGCGAUGAAAAAGAUCACUUGGCCCUCAUCUACCAGUACAUGGCCAAUGGCGAUUUGAAAAAACAUUUGUCAGGUAACACAUGUAUAUUCAUAUAUCAUCAUGAUGGAAAUGGCAUUGUGUUGACAACAUCCUAAGAUUAUUUGACAUUCAUGACCAUGUUGAUACAUGCAGGUAGCUCCAUCAUUAGCUGGGUUGAUAGACUAAACGUAGCAGUUGAUGCCGCACUAGGUUCGUUUGUUAUUUUCCAGAGAAUGGAUAUCUCCAUUUAUAACACUCAUUUAAACCAAAUUUCUAAUGAUCAGUAAUCAAAAAUGGCUUUUGGAGACAGGACUGGAAUACCUGCAUAUUGGCUGCAAACCGCUGAUAGUUCAUAGAGAUGUAAAAAGUUCUAACAUACUAUUGGACGAUCAGUUACAUGCCAAGCUUGCAGAUUUUGGGCUUUCAAGAUCUUUUCCAGUUGGAGAUGAAACUCAUGUGUCUACACGUGUUGCGGGAACAUUUGGAUACCUUGAUCAUGAGUAAGUCGUUUGCAGGCUUUUUCUGGAAGUCAUUCACAAAAACAUUCAUAAUCAUCUCGUCUUGCAGAUAUUACCAAACAAAUAGGUUGUCUGAGAAGACUGAUGUCUACAGUUUUGGAGUUGUAUUAUUAGAAAUCAUCACAAACAAACCAGUGAUCGAUCAAACCCGCGAAAUGCCUCACAUAGCAGAAUGGGCGAAAUUUAUGCUUACUAGAGGAGACAUUAGCAAUAUUGUGGAUCCUAAACUUCAAGGGGUGUAUGACUCUGGUUCUGCAUGGAAAGCUCUUGAAUUAGCAAUGACAUGCGUGAAUGCUUCUUCCCUAGAAAGACCCAACAUGUCUCAUGUAGUUCAUGAACUAAAAGAGUGUGUCAUAUCUGAAAACAAGAGGACAAGAGACAGAGACACAGUGAGAUCCAUCGACACUAACAUAAGCUGCAGUACUGAUAUGCAGCCCAAGGCACGUUAAUCUCCAUUCUUCACUUUGUUGCAUUCGUUUUCUGCUAAUUGUGCCACUGCAUUUUUUCUUUUCAAGAACUAUGUUAAUGCAGAUAUUGUACAGACCGAUGUCUUAAGCAUAUUUACAACAGGCAGAUAUGAGAGCUAACUUAUCCUUAUGUUAAUGCUCCCGUUUCAAAGAUCAAAAUUACAUGUUUGUCGUCCUGUAAUGAGAGAUGAACUGUAUCGAACUGAAUUCUUACAUUAACAGAGACAAGACUGUACAUCCAGAUUCCAUAGGCAGGACAUGAUAUAGGAACUUCAUGUCCUGCACAUGUUUGAUCAAAAACACAGACCCAAGACGUGUUUAUACUUCUUCAGACGUACAGUGGCGAGGCCGAUGGACGAGGAUAAGCAACAACUGUACUGCCCACAGCAGUCUGCCGAGCAAAACCCGCAUUCACUUUUUUGCUGACAACACUGUCACUUCUCCUACGCGUUCUUCUCUCUGUUCUAUCCAUAUUCCCCCCUAUGGCAGCAUUCAGAGACUGAAUGUGUUCAAGGUGAGAAACUACCUCGCUCAUGUUUGGUCUCAGCUUAACCUCUGUGGUGAGACAUCUCAGAGACAGAGUAGCCACUUUACAUGCUUCUUCCAUAGAGUACUGGUCCUGAAGUCGAUUAUCGAUGACUCGGAAUAUCUUUCUUUUGUUUACGAGGUAUGGUUUAGCCCACUCCACAAGGUUCCUCUCUCCAGAUGGACGAUUCUUGUCCACGGCUCGACGACCAGACAACAGCUCCAAAAGCACAACCCCGAAGCUAUAGACAUCACUCUUUGUUGUUAAAUGACCUAAAGAAUAUGCAAAGUGAUCAUUCAUAAGAAGAGGCCAAUACCAGAAAGCAAAGAUUUGACCAAAAGAAUUUGACAAUGACCUGUUGCAAGGUAUUCAGGAGCUGCAUAUCCGUGUGUACCCAUAAUCCGUGUAGAGACAUGACUUUUAUCACCUAUUGGCCCAUCCUUGGCCAAUCCAAAAUCAGAGAGCUUAGCGUUGUACUCCUGCGAUCAUGUACCCGAAAGUUUUCAUCAUAAAGCUUAAAACUUUCGCAGUUCUGUCAUGGCAAUCAUAUAAAAAAUGUGUAAAGUGUAAAAUACCGAGUCAAUAAGUAUGUUAGAAGUCUUGAAAUCACGGUAUAUCACUCUUGUUUCGGAACUGUGAAGAAAAGCAAGACCCUUUGCAGCACCAAGAGCAACUUUCAACCGGAGUUUCCAAGAUAAUGGUUGGAAGUACAAACCCCCUGCAACCCAAGAAAAACAAACCUUGACCAUUCAUAAACAUCAUAAAAAGCUUAAAGUUUGACCCCAGCCUGGGAUUAGACUUAAGAGGAAGGAUGACAUACUCCUGAAAAGAUGAUUCUCCAAGCUACCCCGAGGCAUGAACUCGUAAACAAGAAGACGGUGUUCAUCCUCUAGGCAAUAACCAAUCAGCUUCACAAGAUGACCGUGAGAAAACUGGCCAAGGUAAUUCACUUCAGCCUGCAAAAUCAUCGAAAAAAUAUCACAAUCAUCAACCAUUAUAACACACACAAGAACCAAAAUCGGCAUAUGUUAGCUUUUUUUUUACCAGCCAUUCCUGAUGACCUUGCCAACCAUCUUGGUUAAGCUUUUUGACUGCAAUAACCAAACCAGUGCCUGGCUUUGUGGCAGUAAGAGACUUCUCAUCAAUCCAUCCUUUGAAAACACAACCGAAUCCACCUUCACCAAGCACACUGUCUGGUCUGAAAUUCCUGGUUGCGGAUUUAAGCUCAGCAAAGCUGAAACUCUUGAGGUUUGGAGACUGUAAGAUCUCACCCUCAGUUCGAGGGGUUGGUCUUACAGACACAGACGAAGCCUUACUCCCAAGACUUCCAGUAUCUUUGGCGUCAUACUUCGGACUCGUCCCUAAACCCACCAAACCAAAAAAGACAUUAAUUAGCUUCAUACUUUCGUUAAAUUAAACGAACUUGCCACAACACAAAAAGCCCUAACCUCGACUGAAAUUAAAAAAAAAAAUCAAAACUUUAAGGUGGUGGUGAACAAAUCUAAGAACUUUGCCUUAACAGAGAGGAACAGAAAACAGAAGAUGUGUUACUCAAACUCAAGAUUCAUAAGAAAAGACUCGUAGCUUAUGAGAGAACAGAGCAAAGCAAAAAACACUGAAGUAAAUGUGUGUUAUACCUGGGCUCUCAGCUUUGACCUGAGCACUCAAGCAAAUCCCCAUGAGUGAGUAAUUUUCAGAGAGAGAGAAGCAAAUUGGACACGCUUCUGCAAUGUCUCGCUAUAAAUAAUCACACUUGAAGAUAAGAAAAAGGUGGAAACUUUAAAUCAAAGGGAAGCUGGAAAGUUGAGGCAGAAAUAGAUCAAAUCGUGAAAAGAAAAGAUUUUGCCAACUUUAUAAUCCAGACCCUCCCAAUAUGUAUGCACCCUACUUUAAAAGCAUAUGACCAAGUUCAUCAAAUCUCUUUUGCCAAUUUAAGUAACCUAACAACUAAACAAAUGAAGAAGAAGAAAGACAGAUUCUUUACUCACCUUUUCUCUCUUUUUCUUUUUGUUUUUGAGUUAUCUCAGCCAAGAGAUGGAGAAAGUGAGAAACAGAGAGAGACAGAGUAAGAAAGGCGUUGCAGUUGGGGUGGUGGCAUUAAUGGCGGAUCGGUCCCGCCUUUCUUCUUUUUGCUUGUGUAUAGCGUUUUAUCAGUUUUCGAGCUUUCUGUAUCUCUUUAUCUCUCGAAAAUCAAAAUCUCUCCUCUUUUUUUUAUUUUCGAUUCGUUUUGGCACUAGUUGGUGUUGUCAUUGCUCUCAAUCGUUUUCAAUUUUUUUUAAACCUUUUUGGUACUACGAAGAAAUAAAGUUUAUAUCAUCAAGUCAGAAAAGAUUAGCCCUUCACACACCAGCGUGUUCUAUCGCUCUCAGCCGUUGGAUCUGACGUUAACGACUUAACCUUGUUGUAUUUGUACUUCUCGAUGUACAAACUCCACCUAGUGGGCGGGGCUCAGCUCGGCUCAUUUAACGUAUAUCCAGCCAAUUAGGCAAUUAGCCAUAUUGGUUACAUAAUAAAUUCUGUAGAGUCAUUAUUAUAUGUAUAUCAUAUGCUUAUAUGAUUAUGAUUUUUUAUGAUAAAUCUUUUAUAAUUUAGACUACAACGUAAUAGAGUCAAUGUUUUUCGAUCAUGUCCUCUCAUCGAUAUGUUGUUAUCUGAAUUUGAUUCCGCAUUAUGUAUUUUACGAAAAGUGGUCAUUUAAUAAUAUUUAUUUUCUAGAUAAUUUGGAAUAAGAUAAUGCUCGUGAGGCUCACCAGUUUACCAGCAUCUCUCCAGCUAACCCUACGUACGUUCUUAACAUUUUUUUUUUGUCAGAAAAUUGUGUUUUUUUCUUUUUUUCUUUUUUGGGUGUAUCAUGUAUUAUUAUUAGUAUUGAUUGGUUCCACUUGCUUAGUAGUAGCUAAGAGUGUAAACCUUAACGUGUAAACCUUAACGUGGUGUGAAAGGUUUUUUGGAAUUUCAAUAAUAUACAAGCUAAAUCCAAGAAUGAUCCUGGGUCGGGUCCGUUCUGUAAUUUAGAUUAGUCCACAAUGACAAUUGUUUAAGGUCUCCUUUGUUAAGAAUUGAAAUAUUAAAUCCAGAGAGAAGACCGACAAAGAUUGUCAUUGACUCAUUGGCUUAUUUAUUUUCUUAACCAGAUCUUGAUUAAUACAAUUUGAUUUUGUUUUAAAUGAUUAAUUAAUGCGACUUCAUUGAUCUGGUGCAUGGGUUUGUAUAGUGCUCAGGAGUGAAAAAAAAAAAAAAAAACACUUUGUAUUCAAUGGAAAUUUAUAAGGUCCACACUAAAGCCCCACUGCUGAGUUCUUUUUUUGUUGCCCUUUACCCUUUUUGUUUUGACCAGCUUUUCUUUUGUUUAAGAGUUAAUUUGGUAAAGACCAAAAAAUUUGUGGUCUGGUGAUUUAAUUCUUCUUUUUGUAUCUACUAUCUACUACAUUUGGGGAAAACGGGAAAAUCAACCAAUCAAACUUAAGCUUCUGUAAAAACUAAGAGAAAUUAAGCUUGAGCUUAAGCUUAAUUGUCCAAAUAUUCAAGAUGGACAGGGAUACUGUUAACAUCGAGGUUGAAAUUGACAAAAUUUGAUAUAGUUCAGAUUGGUUAUUUGAAUUGAAAACUAGUUUGGAUUGUAAAAUUCAGAGUACGCGAGUUUGAGUAUGAAAAUAUCUUCGGGAAAUAGUUUGGGUUGAUUUUCCCUGUUCUCCCACUACAUUUGUAUAUCUCUAGUGUUCUUUUAAAACAACAGAAAACAUGAAAACCACCUUAGCCCUUUUAUCUUCUUUAAUUUAGAUGUUACAUAUUUGAUGAUCAAUCUUUUGUUCGGUUAUGUCAUAGUGUUCACAAAUCUCUGAUUGUGGUUGAUAUAAUUAAGAAGGUAAACGUAAUCCAUUAGUGAUUAGCCACUUGAGUUAAGAAAAACGUUUCCAAAGAGAUAAUUAAUUAAUAAGGCAGCAUUAAAACAAAAAGGGGAUGUAGCUCAGAUGGUAGAGCGCUCGCUUAGCAUGCGAGAGGUACGGGGAUCGAUACCCCGCAUCUCCAUUUUUGACUUUUCUGUUUUUUUUUUGUUUAAAAGGUAUGUUAAGUAUAAAAUCCCAAUAAUGUGGUACAGACACCCCAAAGAAAAGCAUGAUUAAAAUCAGUAUGCUUUGAAUAAAACUUUAUUAAAUUCAAAGAUUCAUAAUUACGAUGCUAUAUAACUUAAAAUUACAUUUGAUUGGUAUUUUUUUAUAAAAAUAAAGAAUUUGACAGCCAAGAAAAAAGAAAGGAUUCACAUCGGAUAAAAAGAUAUACAGCUUUUUUUUUAGUGGCAUACAAAAUAUUUUAUAAAAUAUGAAUUGUGAGGAUAUUUUAAAAUAUUGUCUAAUUAAUUAAAAAAAAAUAUUUACAAAUUGCCAAUAAUAACGAAGAAACAAACAAGUAGCUCUAUAUAAUGGGAUGGGAGAACAUGUCAUACUGAUUCCUUUUCCAAAAAGUUUCAAUAUAUAUAUAUAUAAAUAUAUAUAUAUAUCAACAAGUCGACUUAUAUAUAUUUGUUCUUAUGAUGGUUUGAUCGUCCAUGCAAAACAAAAAAAAAGCAAGAGGAGAGAAAAGAGUUUUGGUGGUAAUAUAUAUAUAUAUAGCCUUUUGUCUCUGUGGAUGUGACAGUGUGAACGAAUAUUCUGAUGGUUUGACCUUUGCUGUGUUUGACCCAUCUCGGGGGGACCCGGAGAGACAAAAGGUCCAAUGUCCACGCAAAAGCAUGUCUGCCACGUGGUCUCACGUCGGUGAACUUGCUGCUUAUUUCCACCGGCUCCCAAUCAAACCAAACUUACGCGGCUAGCUCUCUCUUUCAGCCCGUGACCAAGUUUGCUAGUAGCUUACUACUGGUAUGACUUAUGAAAGCUAACAACGUCAUCCUAUACUAGUCUUUACAAUCUUCUCUUGUUUUAUUAUCAGGCCAGGCCCAACUUGUUCCAAGGAUAUAUUAAUGAAGACUUAUGUCCACUCAUAUUGGCCCAAUACUUUAGUCUUACUUCAUUGCCAGUUAUCGCCAAAAAUUCUUAGCUUUACUCCUCUAAAGAACGACUCCCCCAACGUCUUCCACAAGUAUUUGCCCUUAAAAAAACGAAUACGGCCUUGUUCCACUAGUAACCUUUACUUCUCUCGCGUUUCAGGUUCGACAAUACAAAUAGUCUAGUGUACUUGGGGUUAGGGUACGAAGCAUGUCAACAUUGGUGUAGAUAACAUUGACAAGAGAAGGUCUGAUUUCAGUCAGGGUUUAUACUGUUCAACUAGUUUCAACAAACUGUAUGACUCAGCAUCAGGCCUAGCUCCACCAAGAACCAUCCUCUUGAACAGAUUAGGGUCAUACACCUUGGCCUUAACAUAAGCUUUGAACAGAGCAUUGUACACAAACGCAUGCCUAUUAUACUUUGCAUUCUUCACCUCUUCAAACAGUUUCUCUGUGUUCUCUACAUCACCUUUCUCUGCAAAACAUUCGAUGAUUGAUAGAGUCGUCUCCAGCCAUGGUGUUGAGCUUCUUACGCUUUUGCUUGUCUUUAGAGUCGAACCCAUUUCAAUGUUUUUGAGAGCUUCCUUCAUCAGUUUGGCUUUAGCACAUCCUAGAGCAAGAUGUCUAUAAGUUAUGGAAUUAGGCUUAACCCCGUCUCCCACCAUCUCUCGGAACACACUGAUUGCCUUCUCUAUCAAACCGUCCUUGCAGUAUACAGAGAGCAUAGAGUUGAAUUGCCCAGUUUCUUUAAGUCCUCUUACGUCCUUCAUCUCUAACCAGAGCUCUUCAGCUCUGUCAAGGUUCCCUACUCGCGCAAACGCUUCGGUUGCCAGCAAGUAACUCUUGGAUCUAACAUGAUGAAAUCCUCUGAUGACAUUCCACGUUCUCGCCAGCUCUUUUUCUUUCCCUAAACGCCCAUAGAGAAUCAUCAAUAUAUCCAAGGUCGACCAGUUAUCCCCUGUGACAGAUUUUUCUAUUUCCUCAGUAUAGGCUUCAGCAACUGUAUACAAUCUCGCAACAGCAUGUGCCAUAGCCAAUAUACAAUAAGAAACCUCGUUCGGCUCAACUCCAGCUUUCUUCAUACCAUCAAAAGCCUUUAGCACCCCGUCAAUGUUAUGUUCAUUAGCCUCCAGCUUCAUCAAGAUAUGAUAUGUUGAGACAUGAGGAAUCGCCUUGUCAGCUUUCAUGAGCGCAAGGUCUUUCGCGAUAAGCUUUCUUCGUCCGGGAGCUGAGUUGCGAAUGAUAAGACGGUUGUAGACCAAAUGGGAUGUACGAUGACCGAGUUCUCUCAUCUUCUUCAUAUAACCUAGUGCAAGCCUUAUGACACCUUGGUCUAAACAAGCAAUCACAAGGUUGUUGUAAAGAAGCUCGUUCUGAAACUCUUGAGGGACACGGAUGAAAAGCUUUUCCCCUUGCGAGACGCCAUGAAGUUUGACUGUGAAUUCCAGCAAGUAGGAGUAUUCUAGCUCACCAGGACGGUAAGGUCGUUCCCUGAUCACCCACUCCAUCAACUGAAUCAAACAUACCAAAAUGUCUCAGCUCAAAUUCAAUAUUAUCUUCAUAUAAACAAAAAUAAAAUAAAAAACUCAUUUCGAUUUGAAGUAGUCAUUUCAGUUCAAUUUGACAAAAUCACAUUGGUACAACGAUCCGAGUUGCUAUGGAGAGAGAAAAGAUAAGCAAGUACGAAUUUAGAACCUCAAGGGCACGUUUGUUUCGUCCGAGUUUCCUCAAUCGGUUAAUUGCGUGAUAAACAUCUCCACCAUGAACUGGAAACCCAUCUCCCAUCCAGCUCUGUAACGCAGACCCAACAGUAACUCCCUUCGGGAGCUUCUCGAUUCUCAGAGACAAACACUUGUCGCGCUCUUCUUCUCCGUCCGACCCGAUACAUCUCUCUUCAGGAGAUUUCGGAGACGAUAUUAAUGUCGUGAGAAAGCUCGAAGCUUGGAAAUUGGGAUGAUCCAGCGCAGGCGAAGAUGUCACGCAAGGUGUUCGACGUAUUGCCUGAACGAAAUAUGCUCCUUGUCUCAUCACCGCAAUAAUGGAUCUCAUUUCUUUUUUUGGGGGACCUUUGGCCCGUAAACUUUUUAGAGCCCGUUAAGUAACAUAUUGACUUCUAUACAUACAUCUUUUUCGGGUCAAACAUAUGUUUUACUGUUGUGUCUUAAGAUGUCACUACUCACUAAUUAGCUUUACUUAGUUAGGCUAGUAUUUUGUUAAUUAGGUUUCUAAUUGCUUAAUUUUGUAUGAUUCGGAUUAGUAUUUUGUACUAAUAAUUGUGAUGAUUAACUUAGAUGAUUAAACUUAUAUCCUAAAUAUAUAUAUAAACAGAGGAGAGGUAUAGAUGAUAUCUUAAAAAUCACAAAAGUCAAUACACAUAUUCAUUUUUGUUUUUUUCUUUUUGUUUUAGGUUACAUAUGACAUAAUUAGACAAUCAAACCAUCACCACAUAGAAAAUACAAAGCAGGAAACGUCAAAAGCUUAAGAGAGUGAUUACGCAACACACAAUAAUGUCACGUCCUUUAUUCUAACACACACACACGUCUCUUAGCAUAUCAAACACAUAUUUUUUCACCAGUGUUCCUGGCAUAUAUGGUUUUUAGACCACAAUAAGUUCUUCAACAGCUACAGUUUGACCCGCAGCUGCAGUUUGAUCCACAGCUACAGUUGUCGCACUCCUGGUUGUAGUUCUUCUCGCAACUUUACCACACAAAAUAAAAUCAUAAUCAGAAUUUAUUAAUUAGUUUAUAUGAUGAGAUUUAUAUAAGACUAAUUAAUUAACCACAUCUAAAUAUGCAAGACCGACCUGAAAUAUUUCCUGAGUCUAAUGCAAAUUUAAAAUUUAAAAAAAACUAAAAAAUAUUGGAUCUAUUAAAAGUAAAAGAAGAAACGUAAGAAUUUUGAAGUUGUACCAUGGAGCAAUUAAAUCUCAAGUACCGCACAAAACCUAAUUUUCCUAAUAUAGUUUUGAUGCAUGUAAGUAAAGACAGAUACAAGAAGAGAAGAUCUAGCUAGGGCUAACCUGCAAGAGUCACCGCAUUUGCAGGAGGAGCCACAUCCACAGUUAGAACCUGCCAUUUCUUCUUUGUUAAUUGUAGAUUGUUGUAGUUUCUUUUCUUCUUUUUGUUCGGAUGCUUUUGUGAAUUCAACAAAAGGGAAUGACCACUAUUUAUAGAAGAAGAGAAAGAUGCGUUUUAUAUCCACCAUACACGUGGCUUUUCUUAUUUCCUCAAGUUUUAAUUUCGUGUAUGACAUUGACAAGGUAAGAAAAAGAAAAGAAAAGAAAAAGAUUGUAUAUACACGGGCAGGAUAAUUGGAUUGCUUUCUGGUGAGAACAAUAUUAAUAAUCUUAAACAAAUCUAAUUAGAAAUAACAUCAACUUGCCUAUUUAUGUUCUUUAAUCUUAGAUUUGUUCUAACAGUUUCAUUCAGGAAAGUAAUUUGAUGUUUUAAUAUGAGUUUCAACAAAUAAAAUAAAAUAAGUCGUACACGCAACCAAGAGUAACUAUCUCAAUUGUAAACGGCAGCCGACCCAAAAAAAAAAAAAAAAAAGAAAGAGGCAUGAAGCUUGCCUCUUUCAUUUACUUACCAGUAUGUAUGUAUGUUUGUUUUGACAACAUGUUAAUAAUAUUUUCAUACGCGUAUUAUAUCUAUGUACAUUACAAUAUACAUAUUCAUAGUUUACAUAUGUAUCCACUAUAUAUGCUGUAUUAUAUGGAUAAAAGGAACAUUAUCCUAAAUCUUGUAAAUGUUAUCUUAUGCGUCAGGAAAAAAACUUAAAUUAAAUGAGAAUUGUUGUCCUCUGUCUUGAAAUCUUCCUGUAUUUGGACGAGAUCCAAGACACGGUCUACGUUCUAUUAUUUAUUUAUAAUAUCAUGAAAAGCUUUAGUAUGAGAAUUAUAUGAUCCAUUUUUGAGAUCCGUUUUAAGAUAAAAUUGGCUUUGAGCUUGAUACUUAAAAAAAUUAGGGUAGAUGGAGGAUAUAUAUGUUUUCCAUUUUCUCCCCCAAAAUAAAACUAUUAGUAUGAUUUUGUGGUGUUAAAUCUGUCGGUGAGAGACUGAUUUCUGAACAAAGCCUAUUUUGUCUCUGCUGCCGAAAGUUUUGAGUAGGUUCCCUAACUUUUUACUAAUGUUGAGGGAGCGUCAAAGAUAUGAGAACCAUGCAAAACUUGUUUGGGGUUGAGUCGUCUCUGUCUAUCCUAUAUUCUUAGGAAUUCACAAACGUCGCUACUUUACGUAAAAGACAAGACAAUCGAAGGAAUAAUAAUCGUAGAUAGGGUCAUUAUAGAAUAGAAUAGUAACAUGCAGUAAAGUUGGGGUUAUGAGAUGUUUUCGUUGGCUGCUUCUUGGCCCUUCGAGGUCCUCAAUAUGUAUUGGUCGUGAAAUUACGUUCCAUCACAACUCACAAAUCCUAUCGAAUAUUUUUCUUUCUUUUUUGACUUCCUAGUUCCUACGUGCCGGCCUCGUUUACUUGAUAAUUUUGCCUGUAAUUUUACAAAACUAAUUGUGACAAUUAUAAUAAUAGGAUUCUAAUAAUAGGAUCAAAUAUUGCAGCUUUAUCUUAGUAAGUAAUAUGUUGUCUUAAAUGUAAAGAUUAUCACGUAAUCUUGUUAAAUUACAUGUUUAUACUAAAAAAAGAUAGAGAGAAACUUUUGGACAUAUUAUUUAGCAAAGAGGGAUUAUACAGUCCAACAAGAAAGCUCUAUCCAAAUAUCUCAAAUUAAUGUAUACUAAAUUUUUUUCAUACCUAUCAUAUAUUAAAUUAAAACUUAAAGCAAUAAAAUAUAUGUAGGAAAGUUGACAAAAUAAAAUAUACUUUUACAAAAAACAAAAGUUGACAAAAUAGAAAUUAUAUUUUAUAUAGGAAAAUUUAUAUAGAUGUAUAUAUGUGUGGUGGAAAUAAAUCAAAUAAUGAAACAGAAUCUUCCUCUUUUUCUAUAAUUAGUGGCCAUUCCUUUUGCUUAAAUCGCAUAAAGCAUCAGAAGAAGAAGAAAAAUAAGCUACGAAAAUUAAUCAACAAGAUCAAGUAAGAGAAAUGGCAGGUUCUAACUGUGGAUGUGGCUCCUCCUGCAAAUGCGGUGACUCUUGCAGGUUAGCCCUAGAUCUUCUCUUAUUUACCUCUGUAUGAUAUGUAUGUAGUUGCUUAGUAUAUCUUAUCAUAUUAAUAUGAAAUUUUGAAUUCGUGCUUCUCUUUUUUUGUUUCUCUAUUAAUGUUUGGUGAAGUUGCGAGAAGAACUACAACCAGGAGUGCGACAACUGCAGCUGCGGAUCAAACUGCAGUUGCGGGUCAAACUGUAGCUGUUGAAGGAUUCCUUGUGUGGUCUUAAAUCAUAUAUAUAUGCCAAGGAAAGUGGGAAAAUAUGUCUGUUGAUGAUAAGAUAUCUGUGUGUGUUGUUGGAAUAAAGACUUGGCAUCUAUAUUAUUAUUGUGUUGCGUAAUAACUAUUAUCAAGCUUGACUUGUUCCUGCUGUGUAAUGUUUUUAUCGUGUAACGUAAGACACAAAUAUAUAUGUAUUUGACUUUUGUGAUUUGAUAUGUCUCCUCUCUCCAUAUCAUAGGAUAUCAGAAAAUAUAUAAGGUUAAUUAACUAAACAAAUAUAAACAUUUUUAGGAUAGUUAAUUACAGUUUUGAACUUUUGAUUAUCAAAUGUUUCUAGCAUUUUGCAUAAUCAUAUCCUGUUUUACUAAACAACGUGAAAUAUUCAAUUAUAAAUUUUGUGAAAAAAAUUCAUUGUAUACAACAGUUGAGCGAGUUCACCAGAACAAAUUUGUUGCUCUACUGAAACAAGCUGAACUCAAAAGAGAUACAAAACUAAAACUAGUCAACACAGAUAUUCUCCAAUUUCAAUCUCUCUGAUCCUUCACCGUCACCGUCUACAAGCAUUUUCAGACCAUCUUUAAGCUCAGCCACGCCUUCUUCAAGAACUGCGCAAACCGGAAAUAUUCUCACUCCUUUCACUCUCCUCUCAAGUUCUUUCAAUCUCUCGUCUGCACCAUCCUCAUCGAUCUUAUUUGCCACAAUCAAAGACGACCUAUCGGAUAACCCUUCUUCAUGGUACUCAAGCUCCAUCACCAAAUCUCUCAGUUGUUGCCACGGUGUCACUCCUCUGCAACCAUCUAGCCCCGAUGCUAAAUCCACAACGUAAGCCAAGACUUUGGUCCGUUCUAUAUGGCGGAGAAAGUUGUGGCCUAGACCCCGGUUCUGAUGAGCUCCUUUUAUAAGUCCCGGAAUAUCUGCUACCGUCAUGGAGAAAUCAUCGUAGUUUACGUUUCCUAAAUUCGGACGGAGUGUCGUGAACGCGUAGUGGCCCACUCGGGGUCUAGCACGGGAUAGCGCACCAAGAAGAGUGCUUUUCCCUGCGUUUGGCAACCCGACAAGGCCAACGUCGGCAAUGCUCUUGAGUUCUAAUAUCAGAACAGACUCAGAACCGAGCGAGCCGGCUUUAAUACUUGACCGUUCAUCUUCAUCUUCAGCAUCGUCCUCCAUGCUCCUCAAAUUGGUUUGACGGAUAGCGGAUUUAGCAAACUUGCUGCCUUUUACAUAACGUGUAGCACAAACGUUACCCAAACCGCCUUCACCACCACGAGCAAUGCUUAUUCUCUGACCUUGUUCUGUUAAUUCCGCAACGUUAUACCUGAUUUGAUCAAUCUCUCCUUCGCUGUCUUCAAAAUCAUCUUCCUCUGGGAUGCCUAAAUGUCUCGUCAAACUCUCUUUCUCAGUAUCAUCAACUUGAACAGACUCAGGCAUAGUUUCUUGAUGAGCACCAAGGUUCUCCUCAAAGGCAGGAUUCUCAACCAGUGAGCCAGGAAGAUCCCAUGGAUCCAAAUCUUUGGGAGACUCAUUUUCCACCUGACACGGAAGCUCACCCUCCUGAAGAUGAAUAACUGUCCCAAUAGGCACUUGUAGGACCUGCAAUAACACAAAUAAGUGCAGAACCAUGUAUAAGUUGAAGACAAAUAAAAGAAAGAAGCAGAGGAACAGUAAUGAAUCAUAAUAAAACCUUGUCUUCUCCUCUGUUUCCUAUCCUGUUCUUGGAAGUUCCAUGUCCAGCUUUCCCACCUUUCUGCAAAACUCAUAAAACCAUUUAAGUUAAAUGAUCUUUCCGGGAAAACGAAAAGAGUGACAUAAACUUACAACAUGAGGUUGUAAUCCGCUGAAAUCCCAAACUGCGUGUGUGCAUUCUAAUAUCACAUCACCUCCUCUGCCACCAUUGCCACCUAAACUAAGUUCCAAUUACAUUACAUCAACAUAAACAUUCUUCGAAUCAAUCAAUCACUCAAAGAGUGUUCCAAUUCUAAAGUAUACCAAACCUAAAACAUAGCUAUGGAUUGGGAAUAAUUCAUCAAUUUGGAGAUAGUACCAUCAGGUCUUCCAUAGCGAUCGGCACGGCUCCGUCGGAGGCUGGAACAACCACUGCCACCUUCACCGCCGCGUGCGUACAGUGUAAACCUAUCUCUCAUCCUAGUCUCCUGCACAGCAACACACAUAUCAGAUUCAGCUGUAAUAAAUUAGGGUUUUUAUUUGUGGGGGAAGUGAAUAGAUGAUGAAAUCACCUGCAAAGGCGCAUCUUUCCCUUUUUUCUCCGAAAAAUCUGAGUAGAAUACCACUGGAUAACUCAUCCAUGGCGGUUUUUGAGUUCUUCCGUAAGAUCCCAAACAUCGGAGCCGGCUUAGCCACAUCAACUCGACCUCUUUCCGACGGAUCUCCGGCGACCUUAGAGAAGGUUACAGUAAAUUACAGACACAGGAAAGUGCCCUCGAGGUAGUUGAUCGAUCGGGGGAGUCACCGCGGUGGUGGUCGGAGACCAAUCCGAGCCAGUGGCUAGUGAGGGUUUAACGUAAUAGGCUCAGCCCAAUAAAGUAGGAACGGCCCAUUAAGUGAAAAUAAAUGGACUAAAUUAGCCUUUUAACUGAUUUAACUGCUUAUAGAAAAUGUCUUAUUAAAAAUUGUGUUUUCAUCAAAAAAAAAAAAAGUUGGGACUGACAAAGCAAGUUAUUAUACAAGGUGUAAGAAAUCUUGGAUUUUGUAUCAAAACAAAUAUUUAUAUACAUGUAUAUCAAAAAUAAAAGGCAAAAACCUACCUGAAAUAUUCAAAAAGAGGUUUUCUAUUUGUAAACUAUACUAAUAAACACAAAGCAGCUCAUCUAGAACAUCAUCAAAAAUCAGAUCUUCAAGCUCAAGGGUAAGCCAUUCAGAUUCACGUCGUAGAUUCAUCCAUCCAUCACCCUUUUUAAGAAGAUCUCUUCCCACAAUAUCGUCCAAUGAACGAUCUUUAUUCUCAGCUCCUACACCAGAGAGGUUCCACUCGACUCUUCCCCAUACCUCAUCAAGAUAACGUUUGCCGUAUGGAAACGUUUUAGGGAAGUAUAUGUGUGAUUCGUUGUGAGUCUCGACGAUUGCCUCGUUAACCAAAUCAAAGAGAAGUUCUCUGUUGUUCACUACUGCUUCUUCUUGUAUCUCGAGUUCGUAGACUAGUGAUGGAUUCAGUGGUUGUUCCUCUGCGUGCCAUUUUUCGUCGUUGUCUUUGUUAUCGAGGAAGCCUGAAACUUCUAGAACCUUCUUUACAUAACAGAAGUAGGCAUCUUCAUCUUCUUCUUCAUGGUUGUAAGUUUCUAAAGAGCUUAGACCUAAACCUGUAGGACAAGCAAUCAAAGAAUUGAGACUUGCAUAUCUUUCUCUCAUCAAACAAUGAAGCUAUCUAGAACGUUCGUUCAAGAGGUUACCUUGUGAGACUAAAGUAUCGGUCUUUUCCGCAGUAUCUUCCAAAGAACUGACACUAGGAACUGAAUGUGGAUCUUGUGGAAGGAUUCUUCGGUUUGGGCUGUCUAAGUAACUUUCUUGGCUUCUCUCUUCGUGCAACUCAUAUUUUUUUUCCUUCUCUGCUCUUAUCGGAGAUUCUGAUAACAAUAAUGGUUUCUUGGAUCCAAAGUUAGUAUCUUGGUCGAGAUGUUUCCUAGGUUCCAGAUUGGAAGUAGAACUGUCUCGGGGAAGGUCGGUCAGAAAUGAACCAAGAACUUCAAGACUGGACAAAGAUGAAAUCCGUCUGAAGAAUUGUGGUAUAUUAUCUCUCGAAUCGCUCUUUCUAUCUUCAUACGAAAGUUUUAAGCUCUUCGAGCGCAGUUCACCACCUUCUCUUCUGAAACUUUGCUCCAAGAGUUGAGAGUAUCUCCCUUCAUAAUCAUCUUUCGCGACAUGAUCUGAAACCCUUUUCUUCUUCUUCCUUGUGUGAUUCCGGUCUUUGAGUGCGUUUUUGAGCAACUUCUUGAUUUCUCUGAAUCGGUUUAUAACAGUGUUAUUAAACCCGUGACCAUCAUCAGCUGAGCCACGAGAAGGAGAGACUGGUCUGUGUUCUUGAGAAGUGUUGUCUCUUGGAACAUUCAAAUUCAAAAGUGCACCGUUUUGCUUAGGAGAAUACCAGUUCUCCUUCUGCUUGUGAUCAAUUCUAGCAGGAAUUGGAGAGCGUGAGACAGGAAACGAGCCUGACUUGGGCAAAGCUCUUGGAUUAGACUUGAUCUGGACUUGAUCUUUCAUAAUCUUGACAAAAACAUCUUCUUUUCUCAAGAUUUCAAGAAAAUCCACGUACUCAGUUACUUGCUUUGUAGACAUCAUCUUCUUCAGUUUUGUAUCUGGUCUCGUUGGCGGCUUACUAUCUUCAACAACAUUAGCCAUCUUUGAAUCUUCAUCCUUAGAAUCAAGAAACGGUUCAUGUUCCUCUGUUUCACGCAUCAAGGAAUGAGUUCUUGGGGUCUUCCAACCUAUGAAAACAGAGUAAAAGAAUCAUUUAACAAAAUUAAUUAUCUUCUUUUAAACAAAACUUUUGAAAGAUAAUAAUAAAAUUACAAAAGGGGCUUACUUACAGAUUGGGCGGUUCUUAGUUCUCCAAUGGUGAAAGUCAAGCACAUGAAGCAUUCCAGCCAACCAUCCUGAUUUGUGAUUGUAUUUGCCAUGUUUUGGACUAGAAGUCUCGUUUUUCAAAUGCUUCCCCAUUUCGAAGCUAAUGAUCUGUCAAUUAAAUUACGUUUUUUUUUAGCAACGAACGGUCUGAAAGACAGAGUAAUUUACUCAACAGCGACGUAAUAAACACACACACACACAAAUAUAGUCAGACCAGAGAAGAAAGACUUGGUAACUUUUCGGAAAUCGUCAAAAUCUAACCAAACAUCAAAGAAACAAAUUAUCUUUCUUGUUCUGUUUUGAUAUAAAAAAAAAAAAACUAAGUAAAAGAGGAAUCUAAUCGGUUUUAAAAAGGUUAUGCGGUAAAAGCUGACCUGAUCAAGAAGAAGAGGAAGAAACAAGUGACUCCCUAAGCAACUGAACUGUUUGAUUCUUUACAAACGGAGAAGAACAUAAGGAACAAACAAGAAAAGCUGAAGAAGGGGAGGUGUUGAUGAUGAUGAUGAUGAUGAUGCAACGGAAGGUGUCUGGAAGAGAAGAGCAAAGGGAGGAAGACCUUUGAACCAAGGAAGGAAGAAAGUGAGACUUUUCGUUCUGCUAUGUGGUUCUACUUUACCCGCCAACUAUGGGGCUCGGUCUACUUGUAGAAAACUGUCAAAAUGUCUGUUUCAUAUGCAUAUAUAACGCUCACACGCCACGAGAUACAUGAAUAUUUUUUUGUUUGUUCUCAUUCAAACAACACAUGUAUUUUUCUAUAUUAAAUUCAAUAUCUCGUAAGAAUUUAAUUUCUAAUUAAGAAUUUAAUAAAUUAAUUUCUUUUGUUUUAUUAAUACUAUAUAUGUAUAAUAUUCUUUUAAAGACGUACAUUUGAAUGGCCUUUAUUUAUCUAUAUAUAUGCCACAUCAUGAUUCAAACAAGGUGAUAUUUAAAUAAAAAGAGCAAACGUUCUGAUCCAGAAAAUUUCAUAACGAAAGAUAUUGCGGUUAACCAAUUUAUAUGUAAAAAAAAGGAAAGGUUUCUAGAACUGCGCUGGUAAAAAGUAUGUGAACAACCCAAGUAGGAAGAGUAGUUGUUAGGCUACUUGUGUUUGUGGCAAAAUUUGUUGAUACCUGUUCUAUGGAGGAGGUAGGCCAUCUUUUUUGGCUACUUAGGUUUCAUUGUUUAAUGUUACUUCUGUCGAAUGAUUGUAUUAUCUAGUUCGUGAUAUAAACAGUACUAUGUAAGCCAGAAUUGACUUGCAAGCCAAGGUUGACCUGGAAGAUUUUAAAACCCCAAUCACGCUGCGCUGUUUACCAAGUAUUGUUAUAAGAAAAAGAAAAAAGAAAAAAAAAGACAAAAGGGAUUAGAUCAUCUUGGUUAGCAAGUGGUCAGGAUUGUAUAUGUAUAUAAAAUAGUUGCUUUUCUAUUAGUGAUUUAUUUAAGUAUGUACAUAACUCCUAUCGGAUUAAAUAGUAGUAUAAACAAAACGUAAUUAAGAAAACGAAGUCAAAGACUUUAGUUGGAAACUUGGAAUGGCGUGAUUAAGAAUAGAAAUGAUCACAACUGCCCCAACCAAAGUUAAAUGAAUAUUGCCCACCAAACUCAUAAGAAAUGAACUUAAAAAAACAUACGUAAUUGUUAAACAAACAAAAAAAAAGAACGAUCUCAGAAGUAACAAAAAAAUAAAAAGAAGAAAGAAAAGUCCAAAAAUCUUAUAAACUAUGAACGACGACGUAAGAGAGGGUGAGAGUGGUGGUGGUGGUGGUGGUGGGGGAUAUGGAAUUAUGAAAGUUGACGAAGAGAUUGAAGAAAACGAGGCGUCAGUGAUAACGUGACACGUGGUUGUCUGAAAUAGCACAUCUGAUCCUACACGAGAUCCAACGGCGAUUGCCGAAGCACAAACAAAUGAGAGAGAACUCACACUCUUUUGACUUCUUCUUCUUCUUCUUCUUCUUCUUCUUCUUCUUCUUCUUCUUCUUCUUCUUCUUCUUCUUCUUNNNNNNNNNNNNNNNNNNNNNNNNNNNNNNNNNNNNNNNNNNNNNNNNNNNNNNNNNNNNNNNNNNNNNNNNNNNNNNNNNNNNNNNNNNNNNNNNNNNNCCUCUCUCUCUCUCGCUUUUAUAUGCCCAAAUUUCCCAUUUACUUCUUUUUAACGUCACUCUUCUCUUCCCUUUUCUUCCCAUCUAUUUUUAUUUCUGUUGACAGUCACCAAUCUUUUUUUUUUUUUUUCUCUUACCGGAGAUUUUUUUAAAAAUCAGACAUAAAACGAAUAAUAUCUCUUCUAUUUUUCUUUCCUAUAUUCCCUUCUCUGAAAAUACAAUUGGUUACUAGAAAAAAUCAUUUUCUCUUUGCACAUAAGUCAACUCUCUCUCUUUCUUUCUCUCUUUCUUUUAUCACUUCUUCUCAUUCUUCUUCUUUCACCUUCUCUUUGGAUUU
This 77148-nucleotide long non-coding RNA is filed under the name Capsella rubella. RNAcentral describes it as "long non-coding RNA (CRUB_LNC004594)". The stretch from base 63822 to 63894 matches the Rfam family "tRNA". Lineage: Eukaryota; Viridiplantae; Streptophyta; Magnoliopsida; Brassicales; Brassicaceae. The record is from RNAcentral.